UUUUUUUUUGCUACUUGCAAAAGCCAGUGCUUUUAUUAAUAAAAGUUCUUAUUUUCAAAACUUAUUUUCCUAUUUUCAUUAUCUAUUUACUUUACUGCUAUUUAUGUUUUUCAGCGCAAAUACUAAUAAAAAUCCUCGUUCCACGAUUAUGACGUGAAACGAAUCCAUUGAGCAGAAUAUGAGUGAUGAGAAAGAUUACGAGGAAUAUGAUGAAAGCAUAAUGCCUGAAAACCUGUCGUAGGAGAUCGAGCAACUCGAAAGUUAGAAGAAGCCUAAUAUGGACGAAACUGAAGUCGUCAAUUUGGGUGAUGAAGAAAGAGCAAAGGAAACAUGAGUCAACAUACACUUGGAGGUUGAAAGGAAGCAGGAACCGAUAGGCCUACUCAAGCAACAUAUCGAUGUAUUUGCUUGGUUUUGUAAUGGCAUGCCCGGUUUGAUCAAUGAUAUUAUCUCACAUAGACUUUCGACUAACCCCGCAUGUCCGCCUGUGAAGCAAAAUAUGAGGAAAUUCAAACCCGACUUGAGUUUAAGAAUUAAGGAGGAAGUGACCAAACAAAUAGAAGCCAACGUCUUGAGGGUCACAACUUAUCCCACCUGGCUGGACAGCAUCGUGCCAGUACCAAAGAAGGAUGGGAAGAUAAGAAUAUGUGUGGAUUAUCAAGAUCUCAACAAGGCUAGUCCGAAAGAUGAUUUUACUCUCCCAAACAUUCAUAUUAUCAUAGAUAACUAUGCAAAACAUGAGUUGCAGUCAUUUGUUGAUAAUUUUGCGGGAUACCAUCAAAUCUUGAUGGACAAAGAUGAUGCAGAUGAGAAAGCCUUUAUCACUCCAUGAAGAGUAUACUGCUACAAGGUGAUGCCAUUUGGACUCAAGAAUGUCGGUGCAACGUACAUGAGGGCCAUGACCGCUAUUUUUUAUGAUAUGAUUAAUAAAAAGAUCGAGGUGUAUGUGGAUGACGUAGUUAUAAAGUCCAAAAGGAGUUUGGAUCACCUGGAUGACUUACAAAAGUUCUUCAAAAGGUUGCAAAGGUACGACCUAAAGUUGAAUCCAGCUAAAUGUGCCUUUGGAGUUCCCGCAGGAAAGUUAUUGGGAUUCAUCGUUAGUAGGAGAGGUAUAGAGCUGGAUCCAUCCAAGAUAAAGAAAAUCCAAGACUUACCAGCUCUUAAGACCAAAAAGGACGUAAUGAGAUUCUUGGGAAGACUCAAUUACAUCAGUCAGUUCAUAGCCCAACCACAAUAAUUUGUGAACCAAUAUUCAAAUUAUUGAAGAAGGAUGCCACCACCAGAUGGAUUGAAGAAUGUCAGAAGGCUUUUGAUAAAAUCAAGGAGUAUUUGUCUAACCCACCAGUAUUGGUUCGACCAGAACCAGGAAAGCUGUUGUUGUUAUAUCUAUUUGUUAUGGAUAAUGUAUUUGGAUGUGUGUUAGGGAAGCAUGAUGAUACAUGGAGAAAAUAGUAAGCCAUUUACUACCGGAGUAAGAAGUUCACAUCGUAUGAAGCUAGGUACAUAUUAUUAGAGCAGACUUAUUGUAUAUUGACUUGGGUCGCGCAAAAGUUAAGACACUACCUAUCUGCAUAUACCACAUACUUGAUCUCAAGAAUGGAUCUACUCAAGUACAUCUUUUAGAAGCCAAUGCCUACUGGAAGAUUGGAAAAAUGACAGAUUUUGUUGAGUGAGUUUGACAUUGUGUAAGUAAUAUAAAAACCGUCAAAGGACAAGCUUUGGCUGAUCACCUCGCAGAAAAUCCAAUGGAUCAAGAUAACAUGCCACUCAUACCUACUUUCCUGAUGAAGAGGUAUUGUUUGCAAGAUAAGACAUCUCAGAGACGUAUGAUGGAUGGAGAAUGUUCUUCGAUGGAGUAAUGAACUUUAAAAGAGUCAAAAUUGGAGCAGUUCUAGUUUCAGAAAUAGGUCAACAUUACCCAAUCUCUGUGAAGAUUAGGUUUCCUUGCACGAAUAAUAUGACAGAAUAUGAGGCUUGCAUUCUUGGGCUUAGGAUGGCAGUAGACAUGGACAUCAAAGAGCUAUUAGUGAUAGGAGAUUCAGAUUUGUUGAUCCAUCAGGUGCAAGGAGAAUGGACCACCAAGAAUGUCAAAAUCCUUCCUUAGGUGGAAUGUGUUAAGGAGCUGAGUAGAAGGUUCACGAAGAUUGAGUUCAAAUAUGUCCCUCGAAUUCAAAAUGAGUUCGCCGAUGCCCUGGCGAUAAUUUUCUCAAUGAUUCAUCAUCCAGAUAAGAAUUAUAUCGACCACAUCAAGGUGGAGAUACACGAUUAAUAUGCAUACUAUUUUUAUGUGGAUAAAGAACCAGAUAGAAAACUGUGGUACUAUGACAUCAAAAGGUUACUCAAAGUAGGAGAAUAUCCAGAAGGCGCUACCGGCAAGAAGAAGAGGACUUUAAGAAAGAUGGCCAAUCACUUCUUUCUCAACAAGGAAAUCUUGUAUAGGAGGACUCCAGACUUGGAAUUGUUACGAUGUGUCGAUUCCACGAAGGCCACAAGAUUGUUAGAGGAGAUACAAGGAGGAACAUGUGGACCUCACAUGAAUGGUUUCAUGCUUACAAAGAAGAUUUUGAGAGCUGGAUACUUUUGGAUGACCAUGGAGAGGGAUAGCAUUCGAUACGUAUAGAACUGUCACCAAUGUCAACUUCAUGGAGACUUUAUACGAGUUUUGCCAAACAAACUCAAUGUGAUGGGUUCUCCUUGACCGUUUGAUACUUGGGGCAUGGAUGUUAUUGGGCCCAUAUAGUCUCCUACAUCUAAUGGACACCGUUUUAUCUUGAUAGCCAUCGACUACUUCACAAAGUGGAUUAAAGCCUCAACACAUAAGGUCGUAACCAAGAAGUUGGUAGCAGACUUCAUUCGCAAUAACAUAGUCUGUCUAUUUGGAAUUCUAGAGUCAAUCAUAACGGAUAAUGGAACCAAUCUCAAUAACGACCCGUUGAGAGAGAUUUGUGAAAGGUUUAAGAUCUCUAAUCAAAACUCCACAUCAUAUCAACCGCAAAUAAAUGGAGUAAUUGAAGCUGCAAACAAGAACGUCAAAAGGAUCUUGAGGAAGAUAGUGGACAGUAAUAGGGAAUGGCAUGAGAAGCUACCAUAUGCUUUACCUGGGUAUCGCACCAAAAUCAGGACUUCUACUGGGGUAACUCCCAACAUAUUGGUUUAUAGGUCGGAAAUAGUAAUACCUGCAGAAGUGGAGAUACUGUCAUUGAGAGUUAUCCAGGAGGUUGGGCUAGAUGACACUGAAUGGAUUCGUAGCAAGGUCGAACAAUUAAUGUUUAUUGAUGAAAAGAGAUUGGACGUAGUCUGUCAUGGCCAACUUUAUCAAAAUAGAAUGAUCAAGGCGUUCAACAAUAAGGUCAAGCCUUAUUGAUUUACACCAGGAAAGAUGGUAUUGAAUAAGAUAUUCCCUCACCAAGAUGGAGCUAAAGGGAAAUUUGCACCAAAUUGGCAAGGUUCCUACAUAGUUCACCGAGUACUCUCAGGUGGGGCAGUGAUCCUUGCAGAAAUGGAUGGCACAAUGAGCACGAAGCCGAUCAAUUCAGAUGCCAUCAAGAAAUACUACAUUUGAAGACAUUAGGACUAGUUGUUGCUUCCUUGUACUUUUGGCAUUUUUCUCUAAUAUAACAGAACUACGUAUUAGCCUGACUUCCCACGGCGGGAUACGAAGGCAGCCCACAUAGGGUUCAUUUUUCCUUAGAAAAAACCCAAAACAUCAUAAUUUCAUGUAUUUAGAACUAUGCUCAACCUGACUUCUCACGACGGGAUACGUAGGCAAUCCUCAUCGGAUUCGACCCCUUCAUAUUUUUACCUUUUCAUUGUACUGAACUAUGGCCUGGCCUGAUUCCACUUGGAUACGUAGGCAGCCUGAGUCAGGGCCGGUCAUUGCAUUAUUUUACUUCAGCUCUUUGUAUUAAACAACGUUAUAACCUGAUUCCACUUGGAUACGUAGGCAUUCUGAGUCAGACUCGAUCAAUGCAUUUCAUAUUUUUAUUUCUCCUAUUGUAUUUGAACUACGUCAUGACCUGAUUCCACUUGGAUAUGUAGGCAGUCUGAGUCAGACUCGGUCGCUGCAUUGCAUAUUUCUUUAUCUACCCUCGAACUAUGUACAAACCUGAUUUCUAUUCUAAGGAUACAUAGGCAACCUGAAAGGUUCGGUCUUACCUUUAGGAAAAUCCCCUAUCGCUCAUAGUAUAACCCAGAAUAUAAGAGAUCUCGUUGCCAGAAUCAUCAUAAGCAUCGACAAAUCGAAUGAUAAAGCUAUGAUAAUCACGAUCGACGAGUGGAGGCUUAACGGAUUUCAAAACAUGUCAUAAUCUGAAAACGAUAAAGGAUUACUAUAUAUACUUAACAUAUAUGUAAUAUAUUUGUGAAAACAUAUAUACUUAUAUGUAUUUUUCACUAUACUUUCCAACUUUCCCACCUAUUGAGACUCCAGACUUGGGAGUGAUCGAGCAACCGAGAAAGUAUUGGAGAAUUCCUUAAAUAAAGCCUGGAUUCCUAAUUCGACAAUUAUCAACACCCCCUCCCAACUAAGGAUUUUACUUUGAGCACAAGAAAACAGGAAUUGGUAGACGACAUCAAGUUAAACUUUGGGACAAGAUCAGGGACAUCAUGCGGCUUAUCAUCACGACAUGAGCAAAAUAUCCUUCCCUUACCUUAUUCUCUUUACAUAUAUUUAUACUAAUCCUCACCAGCUCUAAGAAAUUUAUUUGAAUUCUUUCACAGGUACGUUUUGAAGACCGGGAUCAAAGACGACGAAAAGAGGUCCUCAUAGAAAAUUAGGAUAUUUUACCUCUCCCAACAAAACUCCACCAAUCGGAGCCAACUACCUGCCUGCGUCAAAUAACUUCUCCAAUCAAAGAGUCAUCAUUUAACUAUGUCAAAUAACUCCGCCAAUCGGAGAAUGUCAUCGGACUUCAACAAAGUCAAGCUCCUGUGUCCCGAGGACUGUACAUAAGCAAACAAAGUUGAGCUUUUGCAUUUCAAAGACCGUACAUAAGCAAACAAAAUCGAGUUCCACAUUUUGAAAACUGUACAUAAGUAAGCAAAGCGAUCCUCUACCAUAUAGGAGGGUGUGAAUGCAUAAUACAACUCUUCACUAUAUCGGGAGUUGUGCACCAGCAAGGGGACACCCCACCACAAAUUAAAGAAUGUACAUACGCAAAGCAACACUCCGCCAUAUCGGAGAAUCACAUUUCAGCAAACAGAGCACAGUCUACCAAUCAGGGGCCCACACCAUGGCAAGCGCGUAAGAAACACACUAUCACAGCAACAUCAAGUUCCAGCAGAAAUACCAUCAUCUAAUUCAGAAUGAAGGUCGCCUUACCAAUACAAGGCAGUUUACCUUUGGGAAAAUGUCCCACCAUCAUAGGCUUUACUUUUCAAACACUGCUCGCCAGUCAGAUGGCAUUUAUUUUUUAAGUAGCUGCUCAGCCGAUGGAGGCUAUUUAUAUUUCAGCCGACAUAGGCUAUUUAUUUUUUAGCCGACGGAGGCUAUUUAUAUUUCAGCAACUGCUUAGUCGAUGGAGGCUAUUUACGUUUCAGACGAUGGAGGUUAUUUACAUUUCAGCAACUGCUCAGCCGACAGAGGCUAUUUAUAUUUCAGUCGACGAAGGCUAUUUAUAUUUAAGCCGACGGAGGCUAUUUAUAUUUCAGUUACUACUCAACCAACGGAGGCUUUUACUUUCAAGCAGCUGCUCAGGCGACGGAGGCUAUUUCCAUUCUAGCCUAUGGAGGCUAUUUACAUUUCAGUUACUGCUCAGCCGAUGAAGGCUUUUACUUUCGAGCAGCCACUCAACCGACGAAGGCUAUUUACAUUUUAGUUACUGCCCCGCCAGUCGGAGGCCUCCACAAAUGGAGACAAUACUAGUUUGAAUAUCUGAGCUUCACUCUUUAAAUUACAAUUUCAAUUUACAAUUUUUGAACAAACAGGAACUUUUCACCUCUUUUACCUAUUUUGCAUGAACAUGCAAUACAAUGUGGAACUACCCUCUUAGCAGCAAACUAGGGUAAGCUAUUCGAAUGUCAAGCAUCCCUAGCUAUGUCAAGGAUUCCGACGAAGAAACUCAACUCAACUCGACUCAAAACUCUCUUUUUUUAAAUAAUUUUUCACCCAAUGUCGUCUUAAUCCAACACUAGGGCAAUUUUUUUCGCAAUCUCCUUUUCCCUCAAAAUCCUCAGAAAAUAUGGCUAUCCAACAUCUCUGUAUUCCCAGCUAUCCUAAGUAACCAAUUGAGGAAUAAUCCCAUAUCCAUUUCAUUCAUGCUGAAAUCUUUGUUAUCAUCCUCGAAGGAAUCCAGUGUCACCAUAAUUCUACACUGGGGCAAAUUUUGAUAUUUAUUAAAAUUUUGCUAUAAUUCGAACUACAAAUGGCCUAACUUCUCGUGAAGCCCGAGAUAUGUAGGUAGCUCAGAAAUCGAAGCCCGGCCAUAAUAUUAUAAAUAUUUUUGUUUCACCUGGGACAAAAUUGAUUACGUCAACGUGAUUGCCCAAAGAUUUUCACUUAAAUCUUUGAUCACUCGGGGGCAACUGUUGACACCCAAUUUUGGCUCGCUCUUUCCAAAUUUUAUCGAUUUUCUUGGCCCUAACUAAUUUUCAAAAAAUUAAAUAAGAAAUAAGAUUCGUAUUUUUAUCUCUAUUUCUACAAUUUAAAAAAAAGGAAAUUUAUUUUUAUAAAUAAAAUAUUUUAAUCAAAUAUAAUUAAAUAUUUUAACAGCAAAACCAUAAAAAAUAUCUUUUGAUAAUCGCAUUCACAUUUUUUAUUUUCUUUUAGGGUGAUAUUGUGACUAUAUACAUAUGUAUAUUUUGUCAUAUAAAAUAAAUAUAUUUUUUAUUAUAUUCUUAUUUUACAUAUAUUUUAUUAUAUUCUUGUUUCUACACACAUAUGUUUAAUUAAUAUUAAAUAAAUAUAUAAAAAAAUAUUAAAUUGGAUGCUUAUUCAAAUUAUGUUUGUAAUUUAUGAAUGUACGUAAGAAAAUAAUUUUAGAAUAACAGGGAGCAUCGAUAAAACUAAUUCCAUUAGAAAAGAGUAUUCGGGUCAACAAUCAUCCAAUUUCAUUUUUUAUUUCACCGGAACUCAACUCUUAUUUUAUGAAUUCCAGCCAGGAGCAAAAAAAUUAGUCCAAAAUUCGAUAUAAUUCCCAUUCCGUUUCACCAUUCCACCUCAAUAAAUAUAAUGUAACCUAAUCCGCGAAUUUAUUUUAAUUCAAAGGAUCCCAAAAUUUUUAGAUUUUUUUAUGUGUAGAGUAUAUAAUUUAUUUUUAUUUAUUUAAUUAUCUAUUUAUUUAUGUAUUUAUUUUUCUCCCUUUCUUCUUCUCUUUAAAUUAAAUUUGAACUGUCCGAUCAAAUAUCAAAUGGAUAAAAAAUAGUCUCUUUAAAAUCGACCUUUCAUAUAUUUAUAUACAUACGUUUUCCUUUUCUAAUCUUUUUCUAUUAUUAUUUUUAAGGAUAAUAUUUUAGGGAUCGUCCGACCAAAAGAUCAGACGAAUCAAAAUCAAUCCAAAAUUAUCAGACCAACACAAAUUAUCUGACUCGAUAAUUUAUUUUCAAAUUCGAAGGUUUGAAAUUUACAAAUUUAUAAAUAAGUUAUAUUUUGCAUAUAUAUAUAUAUAUAUAUAUAUAUAUUCAAUUAUUUUCUUAUUUUUUAUUUGAACCGUCCGAUCAAAUGAACGGACGGUCCAAAUAUUGGUCAAAAUCUUCAACCAAUGCAAUAAAUGAUGCACCAGAAAGGCACCAACAUGCAUUUUUCUUUUCUCAAGAAAACAACAAGUGGUCACCAUCAUUAUCCGCUCCCCUUUCUCUUCUUCUUUUCCCCUUCUUUCUUCUUUCUCCUCUAUUCUCCACCACCAAAACAUUAACCCUAGCGACAACCUCCAACUGUCCUUCUGCGCGACCCAUCUCCCCCACCCUAAAAAUCCACCGACUUCACUUUGACUGCAAAAGCAGGCACUAUUUGGUACCAAAAAAUCAAAAUUGCUAUAAGUAGCCUAAAAGGCAGAGGUUGGAAUAGGUGUUGGAUUUGAUUGCAAAAUCCAUUCUUUUUCUUCUUCUCAUUUUCAAUUUUUGAGGUCUCAAAUCCGAACUUUCAAGUCCGAAUUUAGCACCUAUAAAUAUGGUGUUUUCAUCCCCUAUGAAGGCAAGAAACUUUGAGAGAGAGAAAUCCGGGAGAAGGGUUCAAGAUCUGGAAAAGGGGGAACGAGUGAAAAUAUGAGAGAAAGGCAAAUUUUGAGAGAAAUUUUCGAUCUGUAAGAAAGAAAAAUUCGCGAGAAAGCAAAGAGAUUGGAAGUUUCUAAAUCAAGAAAAAAAAGGGAGACAAAAAAAAUGAAGUAAGGAAAAUUGGUCUUGUUUUUUUAUUUCCAGAAUACAUGUUUUGGAAUAAGUUUGGAAUAUGUUCUGAAAAAGAAAAGUUUUUUCCAAAGUUGCUAUUUCUUUUUUAUUUUGGUCAAGUCGGAGUCCGAUAGUUGAGUUAUUUGUCGAUGAAAAAUCCCUAGGCAUUGAGGCUCCCAUUUGCUAUGCCAACAAAGAUGUCAAAGGAUAAGAAAUGCAAGGUAUAUAUAUUCAUUCGCUACCACAUACAAGGUAUAUUAUUUUCAAUAUUAUUAUAGUAAUUAUUUUCAUCAUUAUUAUCAUUCAUUAUUAUUGCCAUUAUUAUUUAUACAACCAUUAGUACUAUUAAUUAUUAUUAUUAUUAUUAUUAUUAUGGUUUAAACGACUUCAUAUGUUAUGCAUUAUAUUAUUAUUAUUAUUAUUAUUAUUAUUAUUAUUAUUAUUUUAAUUUCAACCCAUUCAUAAUCUUUCAUAUAUUCCCUCACAUACUCUUAAAUAUACUUUUCGUAAUUAAAUUUUCGCGUCAUGAAAAAAAAUAUAUUUGCUUAUGUUUUAGUCAUAUACUUAAACUUCACAUGUCUUAAAGUUUCUUUAUAAGAUCAUAAGAUUUUUCACUUUCUGAUGUGUAAAUUACAUUAUUAGCCUUUUCGUAUCCUACAAAUAUUCAUAUUUUGCGAUAAUUAUAUUACUUCCUUGUACAUGGUAGCGUCUUGUUUACUAUACUUUAAAAUUCCUUGUAAAUAACGAUAGUGAAUAUAUGACAAAAAAAUUUUCAACACAUUUUAGCAAAUAACGAAGCAAUGCUUUCCUAAAUUGAGUGUAAGAACUAUCUUUGGAUAUACUCUGCGGGUUGCCUAACACUUCCCCUCGAGUAACCAAAGUCCUUACUCAAAAUCUCAAAAAUGUUUCGAAGGACCAAAACAGAGUUCUUCUACAUAAUAAUAGUUUUUUCCUAAUUUUUCUAAAAAGUUAGGUGGUGAAUCUAAAAAAUAAUUUUGAAAACCCAAGAGUCACGACACGCCAGCACAUGUUAUGUGUUGUUUCAACCAGUUCAAAAUAGGGCGCGACAUAUGUCACGAUCCAAAAAUGAGUCGCGGUGUACCUUGACAAGUAAGCCUAUCAUCCAAACUGAUACAGAAAGAGAAAAAGACGGAAACAUCUCAAGGUAAGGCUUUUAGAACGAAGCCGAAUCAUAUAAGUAAUCAUAACAAUGCAGAAAGAACUUAUCCAAUAUACCAAUCAUUCCCAAAACCAAGUGUCAAUAGUGUAAGAACUACUCAUAGAAUCCAGGAGUCAAAUACAUCAGAAAAAUAAUCGAAAGAAAAUAAUAUCUAUCUCUGAAUACUAAUAAAUACAUAACUACUAUAGAAAGAUAGAGGUGAACUACGGACUCAUAAAUGUCCAGUCACUAUCUUGAAAGCUCCAAUAAUCACCUAAGUCAAGCAAGUUGAGGCACACUCGAUCUAGGACCUACACCAAAAGGGUGUAGUAGGCAUGAGUACGGUCCACUUGUACUCAGUAGCUAUCAUAGGCCAAUCAAUCAAAGUAGCAAAUAAAGCAUAAAAAAUAUACACUAAGGGCACGUCACCUGUAAUCAGAAAAUAUCCCACAACGGUAGCCCACACCUCUUGCACUAACAGUUCUAGAAUUGUAGACACCUAAUUUUGUCCCUCUCCGAUAUCACUUUUACUCAUUUUUACCUUAUCCUAUUGCGUACCCUCACCCAUGUGAUUAUAUCCCACAAAAAUACAAAAAUAACAACCCUUUUAUAAUUUUCAAACAAAUUUCAUCUUAUUUUAAUCUUAUCCUAACUAACUUACCCUAUCCCACCUACCCUAUACCCUCACCCAUACCCCACUUCCUCUCAACGUGACUCCUCCCUUAUAUUUAUUUUCCAUAAAUUAAAAGGCAUAUACACACAGAUUCUAUCCAAUUGAGGAGGGGGGAUCACUCACAUAAUAUAUACAAUAUACAUAGAAGACAAAGGGAGGUCUGGUGGGUUUUUCCAGAGAGAGGGAUAAAAAGAGAGAGAAAGAGAAGCACAGAGAGUACUAUUUAUGGUUUUCUUCUCCAAGAGGUCGUACAUACACAAAGAACCAUAAAAUCGCGCCCCACAUACUGAAAUAGAAUAAUCGAGAGAGAGAGAGAGUCACAAAGAGAGAGAACACAAGUUUUGCGGGUUCGUUACUAUUCCAGUGAUAGACUCAUCGAAAAUGCAUUGGAGCCCUCACAAAUACUUACAAACCUAUCGAAAUAGGUUGCAAUUAGUAUGACUGUGUUUGUUUUCGGUCAUCGUUGAGGUUAUCGAAGUCGCGACAUCAUAUAGCAGUCAAUCUAAGCUCGAUCCGCUUCCAAUUCCGUUCAAACUUGUUUGAAUACAGUCCAAAGUUCUUUUAUUCUCACGAUUUUUAGCUCAGGUCAAAUUGGUUUUCAGUCUCUUUUGAAUUUUUGAUGCUUUUGGUUAGUAUGUCUUGGUGAUUCAUUGUCGAAAUCAGGUUUCGAGUUCAUUGAUUGUUGUUUUGGGCUUGAGAUUUGGGUCUUCCAAUCAUCUCGACCAGUCAUGGGUUUCAAAUUCUUCAAUAUCAGAGUUGGAGGUCGUCACUAUUGAGGUUCUAUUCGGGAUUCUCGGAUUCGGGCUUCUUUAAUUCUAUAUUAUCUAUGAAAUUGAUUCUCCGAAAGUCCAUCUCCUAACUUUGCUCUUUUAUUUUCUCAAAUUUUAGUUAAUAUCAUGAUUUGUGGUGUGGUAGAUUUUGAAAAGCAAUUUGAUAGCCGAAUUGGUUUAAUCACGUGAGUUUUGGGAGGGUCAGAGUUCAAACAUUGAUAAAAGUGAAUAUUAGUUCAUGGUGAUUUAUGGAUAAACCUUGAUUCGGGAUAAGUAUCGACUUUGUUUAAAUUCGAUAGUCUCAUAGUUUAAGUUAACAAUUAUUAGGCAAACGAUAGGGGGAAGCAUGUAAGAAUGUCGGAUUGGUGAAUGCUUGAAAUGUGUGUUUAAUGGUUUUCACUUAUCACUUUUGGAUCACUUAUAAUAUUUGGUCGGGGAAUGCCCCAAAGUAUCUGUAUAUAUUUAUUCACCGGGGAAUGCCCCGAGGUAUCUUGUACCCAGAGAAUAUUCGUGAUGAAGGCCCAACGUGUCGGGUAAAGCACGGGAGUGUAAUUAGGAUUAGUAUAGGUCAGAUAGGAUUUAUUUUCAUAUUUUUCUAUUUUGGGCUGUAUAAAUUGCACCGGACACUAUAUUUUUGGAUUCAUUUUGUUUUCUUUGUUUGUUUGAUUGUUUUACGUGUUUUUUAGUGUGGUUUAUACAUUCAUAGUGUCAGAUUAGCCGAUACGCUCCACCAAGCGACCAUUGUCAAACCACGGGAUCGAGGAGUGCCUAACACCUUCCUCUCGGUCAAUAGAAUUUCUUAGCCAGAAUCUCUGUUCGCAGAUCAGUUUUAAAGAGUCAAAUCAUUUUAAAAAGGAUCUUUCAAAGGUGACUUGUCACACCGGAUUAUGUCAAGUGGAGACUCUGAAUAAAAAAUGUAAAUAAUCCUUUUUCGAAAUAAAUUUUUAAUCUCAUGUCACUUCGAUAAUAAAAACCAUUUCGAAACUAAAAAUCCAAUCUUUUGGGGUUAAAAAAAAGAGGUGUGACAGCUCUGGAGACUCUACUGGAGAUUUUUCAGAAUUCGAGUUUAUUUUUUUGAGUUGUUUCAGCUUAGUUUGACAUUAUGGGUGUAUAAACAUUGUUUGUCUUAUCGUUUGUGUGUAUUUUAUCAUUGUUGUGUGCCUACGUGUUUACAGUCUUUCUUUAUGUGUUACCACUUUAUAUCUGGCAUCAUUUGCAUAACCCGAGUCAAUUCUUUCUGCAAUAAGUCUCGGAGUGCACGUCGUGUAAACGAACUCUAGUUGAGUCAUUCUUAUUUUUAGGAGGGGGAGCCGUUAGACGUAUGGAGUAGGUGGAAAGCUGUCGCAGCCACUAUCGACCAUACGUUCCCCCGAACAGCCUUGUUAGUGAACCCCAGCGUAAGUCUACCUUUAGGUCAUGCUUAUGUGCGUCAUAUUAAGACUUAGCGAGGCCCACUUGGUCCUUUGUAGGAGACUGACCCUUAAAGCAUCCUACGUGCUAAUUAUCCCAUUUUUUAAGGUGAUGAGGCCAUUUAACAUACCGAUUUGGGGAAAGCAUAUUGCUAGAAGUAAAGUGUGUAGACAAGAAAGUGUUAAAAAAAAAGUUUCGGAGUUUUUAGAAUUUUUUAUAGUUUGUGUUUUUUUUCACAAUCCAAAAAUUCAAAAAGAUUUUUUUUACCUUUCGCACUCAUUUUCUCAAAAACAUCAAACUGAUUUCCCUUUAUCUCCUCUAGCAAGCAUUCAUAAUUCAAAAAAUUCAAAAAAAAAAUUCUUAAUAGGAGCUUUUUAAUAAAAGAACAUUUUAAAAAGAUGGUAGAAGUUCUGUACAUUUCAUAUAACAAAAAUACCAAAAGAUUUUUCUUUCAUAGUUGUUGGUGUCAUUUUUGUGUGAAGUGUUAAAUUAAAAAUCCCAAAAAGAUUUUAUUGACGUUUUUCAUCAUUUUUCUUUGGUAAUGUCUCAUAAUUCAAGGUUUAGUUUGUUAUUUAAUCUUUAAUUGUCCAAUCUGGACGAACUACGCACCCCUGAUUCUCCUCUCUCGGGAGUGAGAUACGUAGGCUACCUAUUGUUGGUUUGGGGAUCUUAUUUACAAAAUUCAAAAAAGAUUUUUUUUACUCUUUAUUUAGAGUAGGUGUUUCACAUAUGCCUCGAAAAGAAAACUACAAAAAGAUUUUCCUUAAUAGUCGUAGGUUUUAUUUUUGGUUGAUCUAAUUUGAAAAAUCCAAAAAGAUUUUCUUCACCCUUUAUUAGAGUAGGUGUCAUAUACUUCUUUAAAAGAAAACUACAAAAAUAUUUUUCUUUAUUAGGUUCAAGUUUCAUUUUCAUAUGAAAUUCAAAAUUGAAAAUCCAAAAAGAUUUUUCUUUGGUAAUCAUAAGUUUCAUUUUUAUACAGGGAUUUAAACCUGAAAAAUGCAAAAAGAUUUUCGCCAAUUCUUUUGACAAUUUGUUAUUUUCUUUUCUUUUUAUUUUUUAAAAGAUUCAAGAAAAAAAAAGAAAAGAAAAAGAGUUUAAUUGGCCAUUUUGGCAAGACUUCACGAGCUACGCACACCUAAUUCUCCUCUUUCGAGUGUGAGAUAUGUAGGCGCCCUUAUUGGGUUCAGUGAUCUUUUUAAAAAGAAAAAGAAGGAAAAAAAAGGUUUUCAAAAAAUGUUGAACUCUAACACCUUUGUUACCUCUUGUUCAGUUAGUUUAGGGUGGUUGGUUUGUGACAUCCUGGCUGGUCCUCCACAUCACACCAAAUCUAAAGAAGAGUUAGUUGUGUCCAACAAGGAUAUAGAAAGUGAAAUCAUGGAUCAAAAAAAGAGUCAUUAAAAUGAGAGUUUGAAGCAAGAUAUUAGGAGACUAAGGCAACAAAUAACAAAAAUGCUCCAAGCUUGGGCCAGUGGAUUGCCUCCUCCCCCAUUUCCCGCUAUUGAUCCUACAAAUACCUCGAGUUUUCCACCAAAAUUAAAGAGUCAGUUUCCUACCAUUAUUAAUGCACCACAACAUGACACAGAAUUUAUUCCAAGCCCAAAACAUCUCAAUACUUCCAUCAGUUUUCCUCUAGCUCCUCAUAUAAGCUUGCUACAUUUACAACACCACAUGUCGUCCAUGAUCUUAUUGCUCAAUCAUCUACUGAGGCUUCUACAUUGUCUAGCCACCCAACGGUUGUUCUUUCCCAUGCUACUAGUAGACCCAUGUUCAAUACUCUUGGUGGAUCAUUGCUAUACUCCUGAUCCUACAUUUAAGUUAACUGGACCACCAAAAUUUCUUAACAAGAAGGUAUGGCAGAAGAGCCAGAUAAAAUGGUUGGAAAAAUAAAGAGUGCAGGAAAUGCUGUGAAAAGUUCCCUAAGACUUGCGAGUGAAGAAGAUGUUUCAUACAAAAACUGGGGCAUGUCUUCAAGUGUUAACUCUCCUCUAAGCCUUGAGAUAUCAAAAUGCGAUGAGCAAGAUGGACAAGAGGAAUCCAUGAAAUAUUUGGGACAAUAUUGCAAUCAAUUAAAGGAAACUGGAGAGAAGAAGACUAAGAAAGAUACAGCUGCUAUUAUAGUUGGAGAAUGGGCACAUCUAGGAAGACGACAUCGUCGUUGCCGUCAAUCUCAGGCCCAAGUUCAUACCCAAGCUCUCUAUAAUCCUUCCCAAAAUCCAUUAUACUCUAUUUCCCCACCUUCAUAUCUAGUAUACUACGCACAGCCAUAUGUUCAACUCUCUUCUUACUCACAAUGGCGUGCACCGACUCCUUAGAGUUACCUUCUGGCUCCACAAAUCUAUCAAAGCCUUUCCAAGCUCGAUUUUAGAUCCAAUCCAAACAAUGAAAUGAGGCAGAAAUCGAGGGAUAGCUUCACACCAAUUGGAGAGCCGUAUGCCAUCUUAUUUCGGAUAUUGGUACAGCGGGGCAUGAUCAUUCCUCUCCUUGGGUAUACUCCUAACCCGCAUUUAAGAAGUUUUGAUCCUAAUGUUCGAUGUGCAUAUCAUUCUGAUGUUCAGGGUCACAAUAUUGAAGAUUAUCGGGAUUUGAAAAGAGAAAUUAAAAAGAUAAUUCAAGAUAAAUCAAUUAUGGUACAGAAUAAUGACAGUGAGGAAAGCUCUAGUCAUACUGAUACGCAAACCAGUGGCUAAAAUGUCAGGUUGAGCAAUUGAGAAGUUACCUCUCUCCCUACUACGAAGAGGUCUGGUAGUUUGUUUUGUUUUAUUUUUUAUUUUUUGAAUUAUUUCAGGUUUGUAGUUCGGGAUCUAUCUUGUUUUGUCCCUUUAUCAUUAUUUGAAAACCAUUCUAUCUUUCAUUUCAACUAAAUUAAGUGUCCAUUUCCCUUUGUGUUUUAAAUGUGUGUUAUUUGUUUUCUUUACACAGUACAUUUUAUGUUGGUUCUGGUGAUAUAACAUGCUAGCAAAAUUUUCAGCCAGAUCUUAAACUCCAGUUUAAGCAUGAACAUAGAAUCAGAGGGUUAAAGUUAGAAAAGAGAGCACCUCAAAAAAUAAAUAGAGUGUUGAGUCAUUUGGUGAUCAAGUUGAAGCCGUCUUUAAAAUCCAGGCAAUUAUUUUGAGAAUCAUGAGAAUAACUUGGUCAUCAAUUGAAAUACAUAUCUCAAUUAGGUUAAAUAAUGAAUGUGUGCUCCCGAGGAACAGAAUAAAAAUCAACUCCACGAAAGCAUGAGUCAUUCAAUGUGAGGAAAGUAUAACAAAGAUGGAGUUGUAUGUUCAGCAAGUGUAGAAGAAGAGGUGGUACAUAUGUUCAGGGCAAGUUAGUGUUGUAAAACAUGUCAUAAGUGAUAUUGAUCGUGCACUUUCAUAUUGCAUGAUAUGUACUUGCAUUUUCAAGGAUUGAUAUGACGAAGACAUUUCAUUCUGCUAUCCAAAUAUCGUGUCAUCCUUUAUUUACCCCAUUCGAGCUUUAGUCCUAUUUUCUUUCAUACCCCUCUUUUGGAAUUAAAAUAGAGUCAAAAAAAAAUAUGUCCAAAAAAAAAAGUGCCAAGACAAAUAGAAUCAGAAAAAUCCAAAGAGAAAAGAGUGUCAAUAAAAGAAAAAGAAUCAAAAGUCUAAAUCAUGCAAAACAAGCUACCAGAACUACACAUGACUUGAUUCUCCUCUUUCAGGGCUGAGAUACGUAGGCUACCCUAUUCGAGGCUCGGUCCAGCCAAAUAAAUAAUUUAAAAUUCCCCAGUCAAAAGAAACUGGGGCAUGAGUUAAUCUUCAUUGUUUGAGUCGAUUCCAAAAGUUGUAAGUCCCACCUCACUUCAGGUGUCGUUUGGGCCCCAUGCCAUCCUUUCUUUCUAAUCCUAUCCAAAAACCAAGUUACAACCAAAGAAAAACCUUCAGAUCAAUCUGUAAGAAUGCUAAGGCUAAGCACGCAAUGGAUGUGAUGAUGCAUUUUGGGAACUACUAGUCUUCCUCAGUGUAAGGAAUUAGGAGAGAAAUGAAAAUGAGAGAGUUUUAUCGGUGAAAACCCUCACGGGCACUAUAAGACAAUGGUGAGUUAAGAUAAGUAAAAAUAAGAGUCUUAUCGGUGAAAACUCUCACGGGCACCGUAAGACGACUGUGAGCUGAGAGAAAUGAAAAUUAGAGAAUCUCAUUGGUGAAAAAACUUCACGGAUACCAUAAGGCAAAGGUGAGCCGAGAGAAAGAAAAUGAGAGAGGCUUGUUGGCGAAAACCCUUCAAGGUGUCACUAGCCGAAUGAGGCCUCUGAAUGCAAUUGACCUCAGAAAGCAAUUCAAUUUCGAGGUCAUUCACUUAACAACAAUUGAUAGAGAGUCUUGGAUGGAAAGAUCAGGCAUUCUAAUCCGAUAUGCAUGUCAUAAUCAUUAGAGUUGACUGUCAUUUUUAGAUAAACUUUUUUUUCAUCUUUUUUAAUGGGGACAUUCAUUGUCGUUUUUUUUCUUCAAUUUAGUUAAAUUUUAUUUUCUUGAGUCAGUUAUCAAAAUAAAGCAAAAAUUAUUGUUAUUUUUCUCUUGUCUUUGAGUCAAGUCCUUGUCAAAACAAAUGAGAAAAGAUUUCAAAACUGGCUGCCAACUUCUUCAAUUGCACAAAGCAAGGCAGAAAGUCCAGCAUGAAAAAGACAUGAUUAUGAGCCGAAAAAAAGAGCAUGCAUAAAGCUUUGUCAACGGGAAAAUCUGGGAACUCAUGAAAAUACCAAGGUUUAAAGGGUUUAUCUGAGAAGCAUGGGAAAGCGGAGAUACUGUGUUUACUUUAGAGGCACUCUUAAUAAUCUGUGUUUGGAUCAAUGACGUGACAAAGCAGGGGAAAGUAUUAACAAUCCAAAACAAAAUGAAGGAAAUAGACACUAGAGCAGGUGUCGGGACAGCCAAGUGCUGCAAGCCACCACUAUAUUUUUAACUGACAAAUUUCCUUUGUUGAAACAGGUGAAAAUUCGCUUCACUUAAUUUAGCUACCAUUGGAAAAACACAUCCAUAGUAAUUUAAUUUUUGUUCAGGACCCUCCUGAAUAAUGGAAUUUUCUUUUUGUUCAGGACCAUCCUAAAAAAUGGGAAUUUACUUUCUGUUAAGGACCCACCUGAAAAAUGAGAAUUUACUUUUUGUUCAGGACCCUCCUGAAAAAUGGGAUUUUACUUUCUGUCCAGGACCCUUCUGAAAAAUGGAAUUUUACUUUCUGUUCAGGACCCUCUUGAAAAAUGGGAUUUUACUUUCUGUCCAGGACCCUCCUGAAAAAUGGGAUUUUACUUUCUGUUCAGGACCCUCCUAAAAAAUGGGAUUUUACUUUCUGUCCAGGACCCUCCUAAAAAAUAAGAAUUUACUUUCUGUUCAGGACCCUCCUGGAAAAAGGCAAUUUACUUUCUAUUUAGGACUCUCCUGAAAAAUGGAAUUUUACUUUUUGUCCAGGAACCUCCUGAAAAAUGGGAUUUUACUUUUUGUUUAGGACCCUCCUGAAAAUGGAAUUUUACUUUCUGUCCAGGACCCUCCUGAAAAAAUGGUAUUUUACUUUCUGUUUAGGACCCUCCUAAAAAAUGAAAUUUUACUUUAUGUUCAGGACCCUCCUGAAAAAAUUGGACUUUACUUUCUAUCCAGGACCUUCCUGAAAAAUGGUACCAUACUUUCAAAACAUGAAAUCCUUCUUUAUCAUAAUCUUUGUUCGGGAUAAUUUUCGUUCUAGUUAAUUUUAGUUUCAGAAGCUCCGACAGGGUGAUGAAAUUGGAAGUUGAUAAAAUUGCAAGUCAGGAGUCCGCCUGAAGUACAGGAUGAUGAAAUUGGAAGUUGAGAAAAUUGUAAGUCAGGAACCCACCUGAAAAAUAGGAUGAUGAAAUUGGAAGUUGAUUGCAAAUUGCAAUUCAGGAGUCCACGUGAAGAAUAGGGUGAAGAAAUUGAAAGUCAAGCAACAAGGUGAAGCAAUUGAAAGCUAAAGAACAAGUUAGAAGAAAAUGCAAAUCAGGAGCCCGCCUGAAGAAUAGGGUGAUAAAACUCAAGUUAAAAGUCUAAUAGAAGCUACAUGGAUAGGAUUUUUGUAAUUUCAUUUAUGUUUUAACUUGUAAUUUUCAUUUUGAUGUAAUGACAGAACCGCGGACCGAAACCUCGAUGGAACCUCACUCGACUCUCCAACUUGGUAUUGUUCUUCUCUUUCAAAUCCUUUGAAAUACCCGUGACUUGAUUCCCUCAUGAAUUGGGUAGGUAGGAUGUCCUAAGUCAAGACCCGAUUGCUCUUUUUUCCUUCUAUUUCUUUGAAUAAUGGUUGGGAUAGUUUUUUCUCGUUGUCCACUUCUUUGUCUGAAAACACUUCGUGUUUACAUUCAAAGGAGGCAUGAUGUAGACACCUAAUUUUGUCCCUCCCCGAUAUCACUUUUACUUAUUUUUACCUUAUCUUAUCGCGUAUCCUCACCCAUGUGAUUAUAUCCCACAAAAAUACAAAAAUAACAUAACCUUUUCAAAUUUUCUAACAAAUUUUAUCUUAUUUUAAUCUUAUCCUAACCAACUCACCCUACCUCACCUACCUUAUACCCUCACCCAUACCUCACUCUCUCUCCAUAUGACCCUUCCUCCAUAUUUCUUUUCCAUAAAGUAAAAGGCAUAUACACACAGAUUCUAUCCAAUUUAGGAGGGGGAACCACUGACCACUUACAUAAUAUAUAAAAUAUACAUAGAAGACAAAGGGGAUCUGGUGGGUUUUUCCAGAGAGAGGGAUAAAGAGAGAGAGAAAGAGAAGCACAGGGGUACUAUUUUUUGUUUUCUUCUCCAAGAGGUCCCCCACACACAAAGAACCAUAAAAUCAUGCCCCCACAUACAGAAAUAGAAGAAUCGAGAGAGAGAGAGAGAGAGAGUCACGGAGAGAGAGAACUCAGGUUACGCGAGUUCGUUACUGUUUUGGCUAUAGACUCGUCGGAAACAUUUCGGAGCCAUCACAAAUACAUACAAACUCGUUGGAAUACAUUGCAAUUAGUAUUAUUGUGUUUGUUUUUGGUCAUCGUUGAGGUUAUCGGAGUUGCGACGUCAUAUAGUAGUCAAUCUAAGCUCGAUCCGCUUCCGAUUUCGUUCAAACUUGUUGGAAUCCGGUCUGAAGUUCUCUUAUUCACGAGAUCUUUAGCUCAGGUCGUAAUGAUUUUUAGUCUCUUUUGAAUUUUUUAAGCUUUUGGUUAGUCUGUCUUAGUGAUUCGUUGUCGAAAUCAGGCUUUGAGUUCAUUGAUUGUUGUUUCAGGCUUGAGAUUUGGGCCUUCCAGUCAUUUUGACCAGUCGUAGGUUUCAAAUUCUUCAAUAUCAGAGUUGGAGGUCAUCACUAUUGAGGUUCUAUUCAGGAUUCUCGGAUUUGGGCUUCUUUAAUUCUAUAUUAUCUACGAAAUUGAUUCUCCGAAGGUCCAUCUCCUAACUUUACUCUUUCAUUUUCUCAGGUUAAUAUCGUGAUUUGUGGUGUGGUUUUGAAUAUUUUGAGCAAAUGUUGAUUGUUGUUGUGGAUAUAAAUGAUUGAUAUGCUUAAAUAUUUGAAUCUUUGUUGAGGUAUGUGUGCGAUGUUGGUUCAGAUUUUGAAAAGUGAUUUGAUAGUCGAAUUGGUUUAAUCACAUAAGAUUUGGGGGGUGAGAGUUAAAACAUUGAUAAAAGUGAAUAUUAGUUCAUGGUGAUUUAUGGAUAAACCUUGAUUCGGGAUAAGUAUCGACUUUGUUUAAAUUCGAUAGUCUCAUGGUUUAAGUUAACAAUUAUUAGGCAAACGAUAGAGGGAAGCAUGUAAGAAUGUCGGAUUGGUGAAUGCUUGAAAUGUGUGUUGAAUGGUUUUGUCUUAUCACUUUUGGAUCAAUUAUAAUAUUUUGUCAGGGAAUGCCCCAAAGUAUCUAUAUAUAUUUAUUCACCGGGGAAUGCCCCAAGGUAUCUUGUACCUGGAGGACGUUCGUGAUGAAGACCCGAGGCGUCGGGUAAAGCACGGGAGCAUAAUUAGGAUUAGUAUAGGUUAGAUAGGAUUUAUUUUUGUAUUUUUCUAUUUUGGACUGUAUAAAUUGGACUGGACACUAUAUUUUUAGAUUCGUUUUGUUUUGUUUGUUUAUUUGAUUGUUUUACGUAUUUUUUUUAUGUGGUUUAUACAUUCAUAGUGUCAGAUUAGCCAAUACGCUCCACCAAGAGACCGUGGUCAAACCACGGGAUCGAGGGGUCCCUAACACCUUCCCCUCGGUCAACAGAAUUCCUUAAUCAGAAUCUCUAUUCGCGGAUCAGUUUUAAAGAGUUAAAUCUUUUUGAAAAGGAUCUUUCAAAGGUGACUUGACACACCGGAUUAUGUCAAGUGGCGACUCUGAAUAAAAAAUGUAAAUAGUCCUUUUUUAAAAUAAAUUUUUAAUCUCCUGUCACUUCGAUAAUAAAAGCCCUUUCGAACCUAAAAAUCCAAUCUUUUAGAGUUAAAAAAAGGGUGUGACAAUAAUAUCCAUGUAUAAUAAACAACACACAAGAUAGGAUACAAUAUACACAAUAUCACAUACAGAUAGAACAAAAAAGGGACAUGUUUAAUCAAGAUCAUCAAGUACAAUUAAAGGAAUAUAGAAUAACUAGACGUUAACAAGUCAAUAUAUAGAACAAAUAGGUAGAUGACAAGUCAAUAUGGCAAUUCAAACACAACAUAAACACAUUAAAGCGGAUCCAAUAUAUAUAUAUGAUGAUGAUGAUGAUGAUGUUAAUGCAUGGUAUUGGUACACAGCCUCAAGUUUGGCACAUAGCCUCAAGUUCGGUACUCAGCCUCAAGUUUGGCACACAGCCUCAAAUUUGGCACACAGCCUCAAGUUUGACACACAGCCUCAAGAUCACCAAUAUCUGCAACUCUUCUCCAGCAUGAUCCUUUGGAGAUGGUCUAUAAAAUUCAAUAUCCGAUACUAAUAUCUAGUAUUCCAGUGUUUCCAGUAUUUUCAAAGCAUAUACAUAACAUAAGACAUAAAUCAAGUACACAUACAUGACAACAAGUAUAUAUAAAGCAGUAAAACGAAUAAGUGAAAUGAUGUGUAUGAUAACAUGAGAAUGAGGAUGUAAUAAUCACAACCAUUCAAAAUAAGUAUUUCCACAACCAAUCCACGUGAUGUAUUUUUACACCCAAUCCACAUGAUUUAUUUUUACAACUAAUCACAAUGUUACAAUUCUACAACUACGUCAGCCAAUAUUCACUCAUUACUUUCGUUUCAUCUAUGAAUUUUCACAUGUCUCAUAUACCAAUAAGUAUGGACACAUAACAAUAUACUAAUGAAACCACAUUAGGCAUUUCAACAACACAAUACAAUUAUUCACAUGUAUUCAAGCCUAUCAAUGUCACAUAGGACCCCACAUGGUCACACAUAUCACACAAUAUCUCAAUUUUGAUAAUCACAUCACAUAUAAGCCCUCACACGGGCAUAACACAUAUAUAGAUAUUUUUCAUGAUUAGUUACCACCCUUAAUAUGCAUUUUGUAUCAGCAUUUACUACCCAACCCAGUCUGAAAGAAUUAAGUCAUAAUCUACCUCAAAAGCCAAAACUGAUUUGCUAUACUUCAAACUCACGAUCGUACUUUUCACGAAUAAUCUCGAACUCCACUAAAAAUAUCAAAUAUAAAAUAUAAAAUCUACGCAUCAAAACAAAACCAACGAUACUCAUGUUGACUAUUUUUUGUUUGGGGUCAAAACAACCUCACAGAACGAGUUUUUGAAAAAGAAGGGCAAAAUUAGAACUUUACUUUAAAAACAUGUUUUUUAUAUUUUUAGGAAUCUACAGCUGAAAAUCUAAGUCAAAUCGAGUCAAAAACGAGGUUCAAAUUUAAGAAAAAUCAUUUUUAAGCUUUACCGGAUAAAAUUUUUGAAAUUCAGGUUAAGAUCAAGAAUCAGAGUUGUUUUGAAGGUCAAAUUGAUGAAAAACUAGUAAUUAUAAGAUAAAAACAUUAUUCAAGUGAAACGCAGUGAAAUUGGGGUUUAAAAUCAAGCCCUAUGAUUUUUGGGGUUUUGAGAAAUUACUAAGAAAAGAGUGAAUUCUUACCUUAAAUCUAUAAUAAAACCAAGAAAUAUAUGUUAAUCUAACUUUCCAAGCUCCCAGAAGCUUCACUUUUAAGCUCCCACGUUAUUUUAGGAUUUAACUCUCAAAUGGCAAGAUGAAAAAUGAGCAAAAUGGGCACAAAAAGUUGCUUAAAUAGUGCAGAUUCUCUGCACUGUUAUAGCAGUAAAAGCUGUUAUUUUUUUCUCAAGUCCAAUUCGGACUUCGACGGAAUGUCCGAGAUUCGGUUGGAGUUCAAUACAUGCAGACGAACUAUGCAAACAUACUAUAUUUGAUGUUCCGGUCGCAAUGACGAUAUUAGAUUUUCAAUAAAAUAUCGUUUUCACAAAGUUGACCCCCCAAAUCCGAAAUCACAAUUUUCUAAAUUAUGAAUUGAAAUGAGAUAUAAAAGCCGUAAAAUUAUACCAAAUAUGAUAACACCCCAAAAUCGAUAUUUCGGAUCUGUUGGCGAAGUCGAAUUUUUCAUCCAAGUUCAUUUCGAUCCAAUGUGGGUCCCACAUCACAUUUUUUAUUUUUUCAACUUUCCAAUCAAUAGGUCGAACUGAGCUCAGGUGAAGCGGGAUCCAAACCAUAGGUCUACACCUAAAAUCAAUAUUUCGGAGCUGCUGACGCAGUCCAUUCGGUCAUCCGUCUUACAGAUCAAAAGAUAUUCUCAUAAGUUUAAAAUAAGCCUCUAGAAGCCAUCAAAAACUACAAUAUCACAUAAAUGGUAUCAAAAUGCAUCGGAAACUAUGUCAAUCACCUCCGCACCCCAGAAAUUCCAUAAUGCAACUAUAAGGAGGAGUAAAACAGUCAAAUCACACAAAAUCACAAGUUUCACAUAUUUCAUCAAAUUUUUAGAUCGUUACAAUAUAUGUCCCAUAGCAAUGGACAUAUGGACAAAAAUAGAUUAGUCUACGUUAGGCUUUAUUUAUUCAUAUAAAAAGAAAAAAGAUUCAUAACCCAACAGAAAAAACUACUCUACAAAAAUAUUUUCUAAUAAACAUUUUGAAGGGCUAAACUCAACUCAAUUCAUUUCAGCCCUAUUCAAUUCAACCAAAGCUGCUCUACCAAUAGAUAAAGAAGAGCUAUACCAACGCACUGGAUUAGGUCACGGUUUACGAACUAUCUUAGCUCACAUAAAUCCAUUAAUUAUUGUUAUCAUAUGCUUAAAGCAUAUUCAUGCCAUUUGAUGUUUUGACUUUAACGUGACUCAAUUCUAUUGGGUGCUCAAAUAUUUUAACUCCACCACUCGCCUAAAAAACCUUGAUUUUCUAGAAUUUCUUUUUCAACUUUAUGUGUGAAAGGCAAGAUAUCCAAGCUUCUUUUUUGUGCAUUAGCUUCCUUGGCAUUCAGCAUAGAUGGUUCAGUCAUAUUCGAUAUUACAAAAUGAUUUAAAAUUACGACAAGGUUGAAAUGAAUUUUCUUCUUUGAUAUUCUAUAAAUAAUGCAUGACUUAAUAAUUCAAGAAAGGACAGAUUGCAAAAAGAGUUUUUUUUAAAUAGAUAAUUUGUUGGACAAUUGAAACGGUUCUUUCAAAAAAAGAACUUGAAUAAGUUAUAUAUAUUCGGGUCAGUUUGUGUCUUUUUACUUGUCCCAAAUUAACUUGACACAUUGAUUAAGAAAAAUAAUUAAUAACAUGACUAGUUUACCAUAUUAUCCCUAUUAAAUGAUGUUUAUAUUUUAAUUUGAAGAAAAAGUAAUUAAUGCAGAGGGUAAAACAUGAAAAAAAAUUGUAAACAUGAAAAAAAUAUUGUCUCUUCUUGAUUUGUAAAAAAUGACAAGUAAAAUAAAAAAUCAAAUUAAGAAAUUUAGGAUAAGUAAAAUGGAAGGGAGAGAGUACUAGAUAAUUCUAUUCACCAAAUACAAGAUAAAUGAGGGAAAAACCCACCUUUUUUUAUUCUAUUGAAAUUUGAGUAUGAAACCUCAUAAUUCGCCCCCCACAUCAUUGUCUAUUAAGCCCUAGACCGCACGCCCUUAAUGCAGCCAAGCUAUAUAUUCUAUCAUUGUAUUGGUAAUGGUAGGUGUUUAUACUCUUCAUUUCUUGUUGAGCCGAAAUUCUAAAUGUAAAGAGUGGAAGUGCUCUCAAUUUUAUGUCACAUCAUUGUUGAUCUAAUGCACUGGGAAUUUGUUAAAAUACAAACCUGCAAGACAAAAGGAACUCAUCUCCGUUUGACACAUUCAUGAAAUUCGUUACUCCAUUCAUUCUAAAUUAAUUAUCAUAUUUUGCUUUUGGAGAGUUAACAUGAUCAAUAUUCAUCCUAAAUUAAUUGUGAUGUUUUGCUUUUUAAGAGUGAACUUGAUCAAUAAUUUUUGGAAUUGAAUUGAAUUAGAUCAACAUUAUAUUUCACUUUACAACAAACUUUAGAUUUUCAAAAACUACAACUUAUAAUAUUUCUCUUAUCAAUUAUAAUUUAAUUUUCAAAAAACAAAACACAGUAUUAGGAAUUCGAAAAAGCAGCGACUCUAGUGUGGCAUGUAGGAUUAAAUUCGUAAUUUAAAAAUAAAGUUGAAUUCCGUUCAUCACUACAUAUUAGAAUCUUCCAUUGUGUCAAGAAAUUAAUAAUUUAUAUAAAACCGUAUAAAUAGAAUUAAAUUUUGUACACUAUAAUCUUUAUUUAGUUAGGUAAAGAGAAUUCAACUGAUCACCACUUAGCUUACCUUCCAAUUGAAAGAACCAUCAUGAUUUUGAAUUUCCUUUUAGUAGAAACUUUUCAUUUUUUUCUCAACUAUUUUCCAUUCUUUUAUGAGACUAUCUCACCACACUACACUUGGACACAACCUAAGAGUUCUCCAAAGAAAAUGAUUUUGUGUCGAAUUUGCAACACUUUUAUUUGCUUACAAAUUUGUAGUUAAUUCAGGUCAUGAGAUAAUUCCGUAAAAAAUACAAGUCCCGAACAAUGGACAAAUAAAAUAUAAGUUGAGUAUUACACGGAAAAACUAGGUAUAUUCUUCACCACCCACAAAGAGAAAAAACAAAAAAGUGAAAGAUGAAUAAUUUUGGUGUAACUUAGGGUAGGUUUUACUGAUCACUCUUUGUCAUUUAUCUUCAAAUAGAGGGAAAUGGAGUGAUAUUCGUUAGGCUAUUAUUCCACGUUAGCUGACAAUUCUACUUGAAGAAAUUGAGGCUGUCAAGAUAAGGACACCAAUUAUUUUGAUGUUAUACAUGCAACAAUUGUUGAUUUCAAUCUAAUGUAACUAAAGCAAUGAAAAGAAUCUAGAUAAUAUGUGCUGUGGAAUAAAGCAUGUAAAGCCAAGGACCUGGGGAUACUUCUAAUAAAAUGAAGAAACCAUUACACGCAAAAUAAAGUCCCUUUUUAUAUCUCUAAUCUCUAAUCUUUAAAAUCUCUAAAUCUCUAUCUCUAAUAUAUUAAAAGUGUAAAGGCCUUUAAAAUAUUACUAUUUAAACAUUUUACCCUUUAAAAGACUUUGUUAUUNNNNNNNNNNUUCCCUCAAAUAAAUGUCAUUUAAUUAUUAUAUUAAAAAUUAGGACUUUGAAAUCACUUAAAAGUAUAUUAAGUCUUUACUUAUUUGUAAUAGGCAAGAACUCUUAAAUCUUUUACUAUUUAUUAAAAAAUCCUAAACACUAAAAUCAACUAUAAUUAUAGACAUAUAUUUAGGUUUUAUGAAAAAUAUUUUUUAUAUUUUAAUGGUAGAAGGUAAUAGCUUUUUUCAUAUGUGUUUUGGUUAAUUACGUGCAUUUGUGAUAUAUAUAAUGAGCCCACGUAAAAAUAAAAGAGGACAUAGAGUUUAAUUUUAUUUUUUUAUUUUUAGAGAGGGGGAAGGGGGAGGGGGAUUAAGUUUCUUCUUUAGAAUAUUUUUUCUGUUAAUUUUUUGGGAAAAGGACAUGGCUAAUCCUUUUCAAAAUAAUUGGCUCAUGUUUGACCUUUAGAUGUUCAUGAUCAGUCGACUCAAAUAAAUUUCAUAUUAUGAUUAUUUUGUAAUUUGCGUCAUUUUGUCUCAGGUAGUUCUAAUACCAUAUUGAGAGAAUUUAUAUACCAUACUGAUAUAGUUCGUAAAAUAAAUAGAGCAACAAAUUUAUGGAUAAAAAUUGUAUCAUUAUUAUAUAGAACAUGUAUUUUUAUGAAAGAUGUAUAUAGAAAUUGUAUCUCUAUUGUAUAGAAUACAUAUCUGCAUAAGAUAUGUAUCAAAGUUUUAUCAAUAUUGUAUAAAGCGGUCAUCAAAUGGCUAGAAAAUGAAAUUAAAAUUCAAUGAUUAUUUUUAUGUCAAUAAUUUCAUCCAAAGUGUUAUUUAUGUCCUCCUAUUUUUUUUUAUAAUAUUUGAUUUACUUUGCAUUGAUUUUUUAGAUAAUUUGAAGACGGAUGAUAUUGAUAAUACAGAUGUAGUUGACAAAUAUAAUUUUAAAUAUCUUUUUUUAAUUCAAUACUACAUUGUUGAUUGUUUGGGUUUUAGAUUGUUCUUUAAAAUUUCUUUUACAUCAAUUUUUUAAUAUUAUUUGAUUUACUUUUCAUUAAUUUUGUUGGUAUUUUGAAGAAGGAUGGUGUUUUUAAUAUAGAUAUUGUUGAUAAAUAUAACUUUAAAAGUAAAUUAGUUUUAGAGAUCUUUUUUCUUUAUUCAAUAUUACGUAUCAAGCAAGAAAAUGUCUUGAUGUAUUGAAAUUAAAGAAAUCAAGAUAUCUGAUUGCGAUAGAGGGUUUCAAUAGUUCCAUCACUAUCCAUUGAUUUGUGACUUAUGAAUUUGCCAAUAUAAUAAUGAGACCUAAUCCUAAAUAAUAAUGAGACCUAAUCCUAAAUCUGAGAGGCAUUUUGUUAUCCUGCAUGUGAUGGAGAUUAAUAUAAAUAAAUAUUUUAUUUUAUAUAUUCUUAAUCUCAAUUUAUUACUUAUUUUUAUCGGUAAAAAAUUUACAUUGUAAUCUUGAUGUUUACGUAAGAAAAUUUAUCUUAUUGAAAUGGACAUCAAAUACUUGAAAGACUCAAUCACAAUAAGAAAUUAGUAAUGGAGCGAUUUGGUUUUGUUAUGAAUUGUUGCAUGCAUCUUUUUAAUCUUCUUAAUUCAUAUUAGUAAGGUAUAGGAGUAAAUGAUAUCAUGUGCUUGAAAGGGUUUUUUUUAUGUAUUAAUAGAUUAAGAGUGAGCUAUUUGAGAAGAACGUAAAUAUUUGAAAUGUUUUUUCAUAUUAUUUUUACAAGUAUGCUUUGCAAUAAAACAUGCAAAUUUCUUACUUUUGGAAUAUUAAUUUGAGCAUUCAGAUGAGUUGAUAUUUAUACCCCAUAAUGCUUAAUAAUCAAAUCGUAUAAAUAUAUUUUGGCCUCUUUUAUUCAAUAGAUUUUUAGCAUAGAUUGUUUGGAGUUUUAACCGAAUUUACAAAAGUCGAACUGAAUUGAAUUUAUUUCAGUUCAAUUUCAAUUGUCGUUUUUACUAAAUCAAAAUUCAAAAGAUCAAAUCAAACCAACCGAACACCCCCUCUAUUUGUCGCUACUUCUUUCCACUUUAUGAUGGAACCUAGAUUGGGGAUAUACAAGAAGUAAUAGUUUUUAAAAAUUGUGGGAUGCUCAGCAAUGUUAGCAUUAUGUAAAAAUAUAAUUAAGAGUGAUUUCCUAAUUAACUAUGUUUAAAUUGAUAGAAAUAUUAUUAAAUAACCACUACAAUAAUCAAUAAUUAAGGAAAAACCACCCAAGUCACUAAGAUUUAUCAAAAUUUAAAUUAAUGAAAUAUCUUUUUAUAAUAUUCUGUUUGCUUUUUAUAAAUGAAAACAAAACGUAUAUCUAAAGUAUGAUCCAUUUUUUUGUAAUUAUUUUUUUAAAAAAAAUAACUUGCUAAAAUUGAUCUAAAAAUUAAAAUAUUAAAAUAUUAAAAAUUAAGCAUGAAUGUUAAUAUAUACUCCUUCCGUCCUAAUUUAUGUAGCACCUUUUGAAUUUCGAGAUUCAAACAAACUAUUUUUGAUCGUAAUUGUUUCGUAUCUCUUUUAAAUAUUUUAAAUUAUUAAUUAUUGUGACUUAUAGUAAUUUUUUACUUAAUUUUCAAAUAUAUAAAUUUUGUUUCAAAAAUCUUAAAAAUUUUGUUCCCAAAUUUACGAUCAAAUUUAAACUAUUUAACUCUCGAAAAGUAAAAAAAUGUCACAUAAAUUGAGAUAGAGGGAGUAAUAUAUUCCAUAUAGGUGUCACAGAGGAUUGAGAAGUGUCUCAUUGACUAACUGAAGCGCAUCUCAAUAAUACCGUGUCGAUAUAUAAAUAUAUUGUAAUGGUGUCAUGAAGGUUGAGAAGUGCUUCAUGAAGGACUGAAGCAUAUCUUAAUGAUACCAUGUCAGUAUAUAAAUAUAUAUUGUGAUGGUAUUUUAGAGGUAUCACUGAAGGAUUGAAACAGACAUCAACGAUAUCAUGUCAGCAUAUAGGUAUACUAUGAUAAUAUCAUUACGGACUAAAGCAACCCCUGAUGAUACCAUGAUAAUAUAUAGAUAUACUAUGAUAGUAUUAUGGAUGACUGGGAAGUGUCUCAUUUUAAGGAUUGAAGCAGUCCUUCAUGAUACCAUGUCAACAUAUAGAUAUAUUGUAAUCACGUCAUGGAGGGCUGAUAAGUGUCUUAAUGAAGAAUGAUACUAUGCUCGCAUAUAAAUAUGCUAUGAUAGUAUAUUGGAGUGUCUCAUAAAAGGAUGAAAGUAGUUUUAUCUGAUACCAUGCCAAUAUAUAGAUAUAUUGUAAUUGUCUCAUAGAAGACUGAUGAGUAUCUUAUUAGAGGAUGAUACUAUAUCUAUAUAUAUAUAUAUAUAUAUAUAUAUGUAUGUAUAUAUAAACCAAGUAAACCAACCAUAUAUAUACAUAUAUAUAUGUGUGUGUAUAUAUAUAUAUGUAUGCAUGUAUGUAUAUAUAUAUAUAUGCAUGUAUGUAUAUAUAUAUAUAUGCAUGUAUGUAUAUAUAUAUAUAUGCAUGUAUGUAUAUAUAGUAUACUAAUGAUUAUAUCAUGGAUACCAUGCAAGUAUAUAUUUACUGUGAUGCUGUCAUGGAGUUGACUAAAGGAUUGAAGAAGACAUUAAUGGUACCAUGACAAUAUAUAGAUAUACUAUGAUGAUAUUAUUACUGACUGAAGCGAACUCAAUGUUACCAUGUUAGUAUAUAUAUACUGUGAUAGUAUCAUGAAGGUCUUCAAUGAUACCAUGGUAGUAUAUAUAUACUGUGAUAGUAUCAUGAAGGUCUUACUAAAGAAUUGAAAAAGGCACUAGUGAUAUCAAGACAGUACAUAGAUAUAUUGUAAUGGUAUCAUGGAGGUCCUAAGUAUUGAAGCAAACAUCAAUUGUAUUAUUGAUAUCAUGAUAAUAUGGGAUAUACUACGAUGACAUCAUGAACGCGUGACUGAAGAAUUGAAGCAGACAUCAACAAUGCCAUGACAAUAAAUAGAUAUACUGUAAUGAUAUCACAGAGGUCUCACUAAGGAUAGAAACACACAUUAAUGAUACUAUAUAUAGACAUAAUGUGAUGGUAUCAUUACAGACUAAAGUAAAUAAAAACAGAAUUAAAAAAAAAAUUACUAAAGAAAAAAAUAGAAUUAAAAAACAAUAAUGAAAAAGGAUUGAAAAUAUGAAAUUAGCUUGUCGUGAAACAACAAAGAAUAUUAUGGUUUGAGAAAAAAUAAAUGAAAACGGAGAAAAAAAUAAAGAAUAAAGAAAAGAAACAAGAAAUGAAGAAAUUAAAAAACAAUGAGAAAAUAAAAAAUAAAAAAUGCAAAAAUAAAAGGAACCAAUAAAGGAAAAAAAAACAAGUAGAGAAAAAAGAAGUAGAGAAAAAAACAUAAAUAAUUAAAAAAUAAAUAAAAAAGGAAAGAAACUAGAAAUAAAGAAAUUAAAAAAUAAAAAAUGGAACCAAUAAGAGAAAAAAAGAGAAAUAAAAGAAGAAAAGGAAUAUAUAAAAUAAAAAUUGAGCGAGAAUUAGAUUAUGUUAUAAAAAUAAAAUAAUUUUAUGAAAAAAAUAAAUAAAUAAAUAAACAAGCAUAAAAAUAAAAAAGGAAAUGAGGAAAAAAAGAAAACAAGUAGAGAAAGAAAAAGAAAAAAAAUUAAAAAGGAAGAUAAAUAACUAAAGUUAUAAAGGAGGGCGACAUUUUAUGUAAAAGAGUAUUUAGUUGUUAAUAGUUUGCUUCCAUAGGGCGUGAAUGUACUUUUUCAUAAAUUUUGCUCAUUAAUGUGUACAUCUAUAGCAAAGUGAAUGUGCUUUUUCAUAAAUUUUGCUCAUUAAUGCGUUCAUCUAUAGCAAAUAUCAAUUAUGGAGUCGACUUUGCUAAGGAGCACCUUAUUCCUAAUAUGAGAUGUGGAUUCGAAUUUUAUCAAACUUCAAUUCAAAUAUCAAAAACAAAAUAAUAAUCCAUUAUAUAUAUAUAUAUUAUCCUAUUUUGGAUUAAUUUUAUUUUAUAUGUAACCCUUCAAAUUUCAUUGUUGUGCCAAUCGACAUAGCUUUCUCUCUUAUAUUUAUGCCUAUCAUAAUACUUAAUAGAACUUAAGGGAUCGUUUGGUGUGAGGUAUAAGAUAUAAGUAGUUUCAGGAUAAAAUGAAAGAUUAUUUUAUCUCAUGUUUGGUUGGAGGUAUUAGUUAAUACCGGAAUAACUUAUCCCACAGUUUACAUCAUAGUGAUGGAAUAAAUUAUCCCAUAUGGGUGAUAGGAUAAGUUAUCUCGAAUAAUUUUGGAAUAACUAAUUCCAAAAUUAAUUAUCCCGAAAUAAUAAUUUUCCAACCAAACGACCCCUAAAAGUACAUUUUAUAUACUCUGAUGCUAAUGAGGGGAUGAUUCCAUUAAAUGAACUAUAUAUACUAUUCCUUCUGUUCAUUUCUGUUUAUCCGUAAUGAAUUUUGUAUACCCCUUAAAACAUAAUAAAUCAAGUAUAUAUUUUAUCAUAAUAUCUAUAUUAAUUGGUGUAUAAUUUUAAUGGGCUUGAAAUGAAUAAUUUUUGCUAAGGAUCAAACAUGAAAUAAAUUGAUGUAUAAUUUUUAAUGAACUUCGUUUCAUUUUAGGUGUCUUAGCUAGUCCGUAUGCAAAAUUUUAGAAUAUUAUAAUACUAGCGUACUUGACUGCGUUUUGCGCAAUUAGAAACAAAGACUCUUACAAAUACAAAGAUACCAAAUUAAAUGAAAAAAUUCAAAAAUGAAAAAUUGAUAAGUAAAAUAAAAGGUAUGUACAUACUGCUUGCAUUUAGUUUAAAAUGUUAUUUUCUAUCAAAGAACUAAAAAAUCUCAAUAUAAAUGCAAGAGUUUCUUUCUUCAAGUCAAAUUACACAACAUAAAUAUAAUACAAUAAAAAAUAUAACAAAAUUAUUACAUCAAAUAUGAAAUGAGGGGAUGAACUUGGAAAGGAUGUUAUGAAAUAAAAAACUAUUUACUUAUAUAUCAUAAUUUUCGAGGUUUUGUUGACACUCACUCUCACAUGUCGAUCAACAUUUAAAGUCCUCUUCUUCAAAUCACAUUAAAGCAUGAAUAUUAUAUCACAUAAAAAUAUAGGAAUAAUAUGAGUGAGGAUGAUCUUGGGUGCGUAGGAUCUCCUAAGAUUAAAAUAAUAUCAACUUAUUUAGACUAAAAUGAAAAAAUACCAUAACAUUUUUUUUUUAAAAUUUAAUAUUUGAGAAUUAUCAAUAUGAGAAUCAUAAAAGUCAUGAAUAUUAUUGAGAGUGGCAAUUAAAUAGGUGGAUUAUAGAAAUAAAAAUUUAACUUUAAAACAAAUAAAAGAGAAAAAAUAAGUAAUUUUUUUUAUAGCAAUUGUAUUAAGUGCUUUAGCUACGUGAGAUUGCUUAAAGUUUAACUAUUUAAAAUAUUUUUUUGUUCUUCAAACUUAUUAAACUCUUAGCUCUUCUCUAAUUUUGAUUUUUGUACAAUUAAUAUAGGUAAAGCUAAACCAUUUUUUUUCCUCAAAAAAUAUAUAAAGGAAGAAUGAAUUUCGACAAGAAUUUAUCUUCAUAUAUCGUAGUGUAUAUAAUUUUAUAUGUGCAAAAGUAUUUCAUUCUUGUUUUUUUUUAAUUUAUCAUACCGUCAUAUUUGAGUACUUUUAUAAUUUUAUAUCCUUGUUUGAAAUUUAAAAAUGAGCCAAAAAAUAAAACUUAAAAGGAAAAACACAUUUUUUUACUUGCUUUCAUACCUCUACCUAUUUAUCCCCCACCCCACCCCCUACCCCACUCCUCCCCCAAAAAAAAGCAUAUCCAUAUGUCCGCAUUAAAACCCCAACUAAUCCGAAUUGCGCGUUGUAGGGCCCAUUAAGGUGGCAACACUUCUAACAGAGUUUUCUCCAUAUUCAGGAUCGAACCCUCGACCUUCGGUUAAGGGUGAAGCAACCUCAUCCACUGCACCACAACCCAUAUUGAUGAUUUUUUUUUAUUUUUUUUUCUUGACCUUUUCUACCCAGUCAAUCACUCCUUUUGCCACAAAAAAAAAAAUAUUUGUUCAUUAAAUUAUACUAAAUGGAGUAAUAUAAUAAAAAUGUAUGUUCAUUACUUUAAUAGUAUUAAAGAGGAUGACUAUGCUGAGAGAAUCUAUUAAACUUAACGAAAAUAUCAAGUUUCAAUCUCUUUAAUUUAAAAAAAUUAUACAAUGAGAGGGAAAAAAAAGGGUUUAGCAAGAAAUAUAUUUGGGCAAUUUGUUAUUCUAAUAAUUUUAUAGAAAAAUGCAUUUUGUGCUUUUUGAUCUAACUGCUCAGUUAAUCGCACUAUCAUUCCUUUUUCUUUUCUACUCGUCUUUAUCUCACCAUCCUUUAACUCCUCAUUUUCCUUUGUUCAUCAACCUACAUAUAAAUUAUCACAAAAAGAAAAACUUCACCAACCAACCUACAAAUUAGAAUCACCCACAAAAAAGAAUAAUAUAAUAUAUUAUUUUUUAAAUUAAUAUACUAUUUUUUUUACCUAGUAAACCUAUACACAUAAUAUAUAAUAUAAAAGCACCUCGUUAUAUUUUUUUUUAAAAAGGAACAAAUAACAGCAUCAAAUAAACAUGCAAUGAAAAAGAAUAUUAAAUGCAAAAACCUCCAACUUCUUUUCAUUCAUAUUUUAAUGUUUUUCAUAAAUAGUAAUAUCUAUCAAUGAUUAUAAUUAGAGGUAACUCUUAUACAUAAUUAGAGAAUUUACAUUAGUUAUUAGUAUUAUCCGUUCUUAUUUGAUUGUUGUUCAUAAGUAAUCCAUUAAUUACUUAAAUAAUACUUCCGUUUCAACUUUGCUUAUUUAUUUAUUUCAAAAAAAUACAUUUUUUUUCUUGUUAGCACUCUUUAGGAGUCGUUUGGUAUGUGAAAUAAGAUCGAAUAUUUCAAAAUUAAUCAUCGGAUAUCUCACUUUAUCCCAUUCAACUUGAAAUUAUUUUAUCAUAGCAUAAUCUCAAAAUUAUUUAGUUCACAUAUCAUACCACUCUUAAUUCAUACUUUUCACAUGACAUGUUUAAAAUUGUAAAAUUAAAUGUCCUUUUGAUACAAUUUAAUGCUAAUAAACUCAAAAAUUUCUCAAUUUACUUUCUAGAACAUCGUAUCAAGUGAUCAAAAUUAUACAAACAAAUUAUAAAAGAGAAAGUACACAUAAGCAAUAUUAUCUAUAAAUAAAGAUUUUUAGCCUUACAUAGAUCCUCUCGCCUUCUAAUAAUCACUAAUUUACAAUUAGAGAAUUUACAUAAAUCAUUUCAUCUUGUUCGUUCGUAUUUAAUAAUUUGAUUAUGUAAUAAUUAUUAUUAUUAUGGCGAAUGAACUCAUAAAUAAACUUUAUACAUACUAAAAAUAUUUUUGGUCUUACAAAAGAUCUCUCAUCUUCAAUUUCUAUAUAAUUAUUAUAUAAAAAUAACAAUUGUUAUCAUGAUAAAUUAUUAAUAUAUAUUUAGAAAAUUCUGAGAUUUUUUAAAUAUCAUAAAAAGUGAAAUUUAAUAAGAUAGUUACCAUGUCAUUUUUUGGUCGAUUUUUUUUGUUUGUUUCAGUAAUGAAUUUUCUAAAUUUUUACCAACUGUGAAUAUUGAAAUAACUUCUUAACUGUAAUCGACAAAGAAUAAUGAAAUUAAAAGAAUUUGAAUCAGCUCAUAGGAGCAAAGUAUCUUUUUCUUCCAUUUGAUGCUUAAAUAGUGUUGGGAGAAAUUUUAAUUUUGAAACUCAAAGAUUAAUCAACAUAAGUUUGUAUGUAUAUAUAGCAAAUGUGACAUUUGUUAUUUUUUUCAUAUAUAUUCUUCUACAUUUUGAAUCCCCUCGAUACAAGUCUUAAUUUUCAUCAUUAACACAGACAUUUUUAAUAUGAGCUAAUUCCUGCAUCAAAUGAGGGUUGUCAAAAUUUUAAAAGGUUUCAAUUAACUAUAUCUAGAAUACAAAUCAUAUAUAGGUAUUAUUUAACUAUGAAAUGCAAAUCGAUAUAUAUUAUAAAUUAGAAAACACUACCUAAAGAAUCCAAAAGAAAUAAACAAUGCGAGUUUAAUCAUAUAGAAAUUUCUCCAACAUUUAUAUUAGUUACUAUGAUGCAAUGCAAAAGAGAAAAUGGUCAACAUCCACCUUUACCUCAAAUCCCAACUACACAUCUAUAUUUUGCGGGAUCUUAUGAUCCCCUGAACUAUUUUAAAGUAGAAUUAUUAUCCUUCCAAAAGCUGACAUGGCAAGAGAGUGUGUUUCACUCUCUUUAAAGAAAGUGAAAACAUAAAUUAUUUAUUAAAAAAUUAUUUUUAAUAUUUCUUUAUUUUCUUUAUUCAUUUUUAAUUAUUUUUUUUCUUUCUUCUUCCUCCUCCGAAAGCUGACAUAGCGAGAGAGUGUGUUUCGCUCUCUUUAAAAAGAGUGAAAACGUAAAUUAUUUAUUAAAAAUUUAUUUUUAAUAUUUCUUUAUUUUCUUUAUUCAUUUUUAAUUAUUCUUUUUCCUCCUCCUCCAACUUCAAGAACUCAUCAAUGACAUCCCAGACUAAUUUAUCAUCUUCUUCAUCUCCAAGCACAAAAUCGAUUGAUUCCGACUUCAAAUUCGUUGAAAAUUUCAAAAUGGGUAUUGUUCAUUAGUUUCAACUUCAAAGUCGUCGAAAAUUUCAAAAUCGAUAUUAUCCAUUAUUUUCGACUUCAAGAUCGUCGUAAAUUUUAAAAAUGAGUAUUGUCCAUUGUUUCCGACUUCAAGGUCGUCGAUAAUUUCAAAAUUCUCUAUUGUUUUCGACUUUAAGGUCAUCAAAAAUUUUAAAUUCGGUACUGUUCAUUGUUUCCGAAUUCAAGGUCGUCAAAAUUUUUGAAAUUGGUAUUGUUCGUUGUUUUCGGAUUUAAGUUCGUCAAAAAUUUAAUAAUUGAGAUUGUUCCUUGCUUUCCAUUUCAAGGUUGUUGAAAAGUCUUAGAUUCGAUGUCGUUUAUUAUUUCCAGCUUCAAGAUCGUUGGAAUUUUCAAAAUUGAUAUUGUCCAUUAUUUUCGACUUCAAGGUCGUCGAAAAUUUUAAAAUGAGUAUUAUUUCUGACUUUAAGGUCCUUGAAAAUUUUAAAUUCGGUAUUGUUCAUUAUUUUCGGCUUCAAGGUUGUCGAAAAUUUUGAUAUUGAUAUUGUUCGUUGUUUUCGGAUUUAAGAUCGUCGAAAAUUUAAUAAUUGAUAUUGUUCAUUGUUUCCCACUUCAAGGUUGUUGAAAAUUUUAAAUUCGAUGUUUAUUAUUUCCGACUUCUCAAAUUCAAUUUUGUCCAUUAUUUCUCACUUUAAGGUCAUCGAAAAAUUGUUUAAGUUUAAAAAGGAACAGAGAUGAAAAGUAAUGGUGAAAAAAUGAUGAAAAGUGAUAAAAAUGGAGAAGAAAGUAAAUAAAAAUUAAUUUUAAACAAAAAACACGUGCCAAAAUGCAGUUGGUGCGUGCAUCACACCACAUCUCAAAUGACUGGUUGUCAGUUUUCGGAGGGGUAGUAAUUUCACUUUAAAAUAGUUCAGGGGAGUCAUUUUUAACUGUUCUUUUUCCUCCUCCUCCAACUUCAAGAACUCAUCAAUGACAUCCAAGACUAAUUUAUCAUCUUCUUCAUCUCCAAGCACAAAAUCGAUUGAUUCCGACUUCAAAUUCGUCGAAAAUUUCAAAAUGGGUAUUGUUCAUUAGUUUCAACUUCAAAGUCGUCGAAAAUUUCAAAAUCGAUAUUAUCCAUUAUUUUCGACUUCAAGAUCGUCGUAAAUUUUAAAAAUGAGUAUUGUCCAUUGUUUCCGACUUCAAGGUCGUCGAUAAUUUCAAAAUUCUCUAUUGUUUUCGACUUUAAGGUCAUAAAAAAUUUUAAAUUCGGUACUGUUCAUUGUUUCCGACUUCAAGGUCGUCAAAAUUUUUGAAAUUGGUAUUGUUCGUUGUUUUUGGAUUUAAGUUCGUCAAAAAUUUAAUAAUUGAGAUUGUUCCUUGCUUUCCACUUCAAGGUUGUCGAAAAGUCUUAGAUUCGAUGUCAUUUAUUAUUUCCAGCUUCAAGAUCGUUGGAAUUUUCAAAAUUGAUAUUGUCCAUUAUUUCCGACUUCAAGGUCGUCGAAAAUUUUAAAAUGAGUAUUAUUUCUGACUUUAAGGUCCUUGAAAAUUUUAAAUUCGGUAUUGUUCAUUAUUUUCGGCUUCAAGGUUGUCGAAAAUUUUGAUAUUGAUAUUGUUCGUUGUUUUCGGAUUUAAGAUCGUCGAAAAUUUAAUAAUUGAUAUUGUUCAUUGUUUCCCACUUCAAGGUUGUAUGGAGAAGAAAGUAAAUAAAAAUUAAUUUUAAACAAAAAACACGUGCCAAAAUGCAGUUGGUGCGUGCAUCACACCAUAUCUCAAAUGACUGGUUGUCAGUUUUCGGAGGGGUAGUAAUUUCACUUUAAAAUAGUUCAGGGGAGUCAUUUUUAACUAUUCUUUUUCCUCCUCCUCCAACUUCAAGAACUCAUCAAUGACAUCCAAGACUAAUUUAUCAUCUUCUUCAUCUCCAAGCACAAAAUCGAUUGAUUCCGACUUCAAAUUCGUUGAAAAUUUCAAAAUGGGUAUUGUUCAUUAGUUUCAACUUCAAGGUAGUUGAAAAUUUCAAAAUCGAUAUUGUCCAUUAUUGUCGACUUCAAGAUCGUCGUAAAUUUUAAAAUGAGUAUUAUCCAUUGUUUCCGACUUCAAGGUCGUCGAAAAUUUCAAAAUUCUCUAUUAUUUCCGACUUUAAGGUCAUAAAAAAUUUUAAAUUCGGUAUUGUUCAUUGUUUCCGACUUCAAGGUCGUCAAAAUUUUUGAAAUUGGUAUUAUUCGUUGUUUUCGAAUUUAAGUUCGUCAAAAAUUUAAUAAUUGAGAUUGUUCAUUGCUUUCCACUUCAAGGUUGUCGAAAAGUCUUAGAUUCGAUGUCAUUUAUUAUUUCCAGCUUCAAGAUCGUUGGAAUUUUCAAAAUUGAUAUUGUCCAUUAUUUUCGACUUCAAGGUUGUCGAAAAUUUUAAAAUGAGUAUUAUUUCUGACUUUAAGGUCCUCGAAAAUUUUUAAUUCGAUAUUGUUCAUUGUUUUCCACUUCAAGGUUGUCGAAAAUUUUAAAUUCGAUGUUUAUUAUUUUCGUUUCUCAAAUUUAAUUUUGUCCAUUAUUUCUCACUUUAAGGUCAUCAAAAAAUUAUUGAAGUUUAAAAAGGAACAGAGAUGAAAAGUAAUGGUGAAAAAGAGAUGAAAAGUGAUAAAAAUGGAGAAGAAAGUAAUAAAAAUUAAUUUUAAACAAAAAACACGUGCCAAAAUGCAGUUGGUGCGUGCAUCACACCACAUCUCAAAUGACUGGUUGUCAGUUUUCGGAGGGAUAAUAAUUUCACUUUAAAAUAGUUCAGGAGACCCACAAAGUAUAAGUAUGUAGUUGGGAUUUGAGGUAAAGGUUGGGGGAGGGAUUUUUGACCAUUUUCUCAAUGCGAAAUAAUCUUAAAAAACAUAUUAUUGUAGCUUCUACUUUUAACUCAAUGCGAAAUAAUCUUAAAAAACAUAUUAUUGUAGCUUCUACUUUUAACUCCAUUUUUAAGUGGGAAAAUGCUCUCAAAUUAUACCUUAACUUUGAUGAAAUUUGUUAUAACUCCCUUAAAACUUUGUGUGGGCCCUAUGACCCCUAUAAAACUUUGCGUGAAUCCUAUAAUCCCCUAGACUAUUUAUUAGAGUAUUUUAUUGACAUUUAUUUGCACUAUUUUUUUAAAUUUUUUAGCAUUUUUUAAUUUUUGUAUUAACUUAUAAUGGUCACUAAAAUACACUAAUAAAUAGUUCAGGGGGUCAUAGGACCCCCACAAAAUUCAGGUGUGUUGCAACAAAUUUCCUUAAAGUUUAGGUAUAUUUGAGACUAUUUUUUUCUUUUUAGGCCAAUUAAUUUGUGAGAGGAAUAUCAUAAGUGUUGUCAUCUGUGGAAAUAAAUGCUUUCAUGGAGAAACAUCACACUAUAAUAGGUGAAUAUUAGAUGACAAAUAUAUAUUAACUAUAUAAAUUUAAAACAGUUUGAAAAGUUAUUUGAUCAUUUCAUACGCAAAAAUAUGUAUAUGAAUAAAAGAAAAAAAAGAGAAAAAAAAAAUACUAAAGUAUUAAGAUGGAUGACAGUGCAUUCAUUCUACGAACAGAUAAAAGGAAAAAAACAUCAUUUUCACCCCAUACUAUACAAGAAAAGUUAAAGCCACAUCUAAACUAUAUAAGUGACCUAUUACACAUCUUAACUAUAUAAAAGUAAUAUUAUUACCUGUCCGCGACCCUCAUUCUAAAGCACGUAUGUUACAAUUUUAGGCGCGUCCAGCCUAUUAAAUAAUAAAAGUAAACGACUAAAAUCAUUAAGGGAAAAAGCAUCGUUUUCACCCCAAACUAUAGUCGAAAAGUCGAAUCCACACCUAAACUAUAUAAGUGACCUAUUACACACUUUGACGAUAAAAAAAAGUGAUAUUUUUUACUCCUUAAAUCUGACUUGAAAAAUACAUAAUUAUUUAAAUAAAAAUUAACGCAUUUAAAUUAAAAAUUAAUGCAAAAAAAAUUAAAAUUAAAAUACUUCUCCCCCAACCCCCAGCAUCCAUCUCCCCACCGCCAUCCCCAAACAAUCCUCUUCUUCAUCACCCCUAACCCCAAACCAUCAUCUUCUUCAUCACUCCCACCCUGAAACUCCAACCCCAACCCCAAACAAUCUUCUUCUUCAUCACCCCACCCCAACCAACACAGUUUCUUCAUCACCCUACCUCCAAAUUCCAACUCCAUCCCCAAAUAACAUAAUUCAUCCUCCACCUUCAUCGAACCAAUAUCAAUUUCACAAUGAACAAAAUCAAAUUGUAUUUGGUGUUUAAACGGGUAAAACCAAAUUUUAUAAAAAAAAUAUAUAAAAUUUUGUAGCAAGGAUGUUUUCCGAUGGAUUCUCGUUGGAAAAGUCAAAUUCAUCGUCAACUUUCUCAUCUCAGUCUGUUAAUUAUUAAUCCAUCCUAAAAUGGAGUUUGCUACCAUAUUAGUUUUUUCUUUAAAUUAUAGCUGAAAAACAAAUGAAAAAAGUAUGAAAAUGUGUUGGUCAUUACCAUUUAAAAUACAGAGGCCAACAAUCAAAUGACCAUUUUUUGAAACAAUAAUGGCCAUUAUAGCUGAGAAUUUUUUAUUUUAUUUUUUAAGAAAAGACGAUGGAUUACAGAUGAAGAACAAUGUUAGAAGAAAUUAACUGUUAUGAUAAUUUUGUUGGUGGGAUAAAGUUUAUGGUGGUGAAUAUGGUGUAAUGGAGGUAAUGAAGAUUUUGGACAUUAACAAUGGAGGUUUUAGACAUUGAAGAAGAAGGAAAAAAAAUUAAAUUAAAAACAAAAAAGAAAAAAUUAUGAAAAUAAUAAAUUUAUUAUUUUUUCGAAUUAUGCUGACUUGGCAGCGCGUGUAAACACCAUACCACAUGCAAGUUGUGUAAUGCCUGACAGAGUGUAAAAAGUAUCACUUUUUUAUAGUUAAGGUGUGUAAUAGGUCACUUAUAUAGUUUAAGUGUGGAUUUGACUUUUCGACUAUAGUUUGAGGUGGAAACAAUGUCUUUUCCCAACAGAUAACUCCCCAUUUUUGGCAAUUGGUUGGUGCAACGUCAAGCAACCUGAAAUACAUAAGGGAGGAUAAGAUAGCCUACAAGAAAAUUAAUUUUGUAACUUAAGACAUCAAGUUUAAUUUAGAAAUCAUUCAUAGCAGGGCAUACACAGGAAAGAAAGAAAUUUAAAAGAAAAUAAUACUCAGCUGCAUAUGAGGAUACCUAUGCUGCAUAUUCCAUGUCACAAAGUUUCAGUGAAUCUGUUGUUGCUAUAUAUAUCAAUUGAUGGCAAAUGAUAUUCAUUGACUUAGGAACUUAAGAGUUACUCUAAAACGUUGGGAGAGGGAAACCUUUUUGGCUGUACAAAUAAAUUUAAUACAAAUUAAUAUGGAUAAUUAUAGACUUAGAUUAAUUUAAUUAAUGAAUGAAAAAGAGAAAAAGAGAAAAAUUGAAAAAAAUAAUGAAAAAAUCAAAAAAUGGAAAAAGCAUACCACAUCAGGAUGUUUAUAACUCUUCUUUUUAUAUAUAUAUAUAUAUAUAUAUAUAUAUAUACUUUUGAUUCUUAUAAUUUUAAACAAAUACGUGUAUUAUGACAAAAACAUAUAUACCCUUUAAAUCUUGUAAUACUAAACACGCAUGUUAUAUCAUUUCUACAAGUACACGUCAUUAAAGCUAUAAGAAAAGUUAGAACAAGAAACUUACAAAGGGUUAGGUGAUGAGUGGUAAAUUUACCGCUCAUUUACCUCCAAAUGCAACUUACAAAGGGUUAGGUGAUGUGUGGUAAAUUUACCGCUCAUUUACCUCCAAAUGCGUACACACUACUAUGAUUUAAUGGUAUGAAUGAGACAACUUUGGCAUUUGAAUGCACUAAUUCUCAUAUUUUGCAGGUAUACAGGUGAUGAAAAGAAAAGAAGUGAAAUAGGCUAAAAAGAGAUAAAAAAAGGGAAGAGAAGUGCAAAAGCUGGAAAAGCAGGAGCAGGAUCUGACCUCAGUUACUGUGAUCGCGGUCUGAGGGCCAUGAUCAUAGACAUUCAAGAUUAGUCAGAGCCAACGAUUGUGAAGGAUUCACCACAAUCGCGGGAGUCGCGAUCGUGAUCAAGAUGGGGCAAUCGCGGCAGCGGGGGUUUAUGCCAAAGGGCAGAUUUGUAAUUUCAUAAAAUUGACCCCAAAUCCCAUAUAGAGCAAAAAUCCUUUCAUUUUUGGGCAUCUUCCCAACUAAAAUUGAGCUUGGAGAAAUUUGAAACCCUGUCUAAUUGGGAAACUUAUUGUGGCAAAUUUCUCACGCGAUUUUGAUUGUAAUUGAAGUUGGCUAUUGAAGAAUACUCUUGUUUGCUUCUUCAAUGGAAGCAUUGAAUGAUCAUUUUGGCAUAAUUCUUUUCCCUAACUUCAUGAGUAGCUAAACAUUUAUCUUGGGAUUAUAUUGAAAUCGGGUGCAAAUAUGUGUGGGUUGUGAUUUAUUAGUGUAGUUUCUUAGUUAUUGAUGAUGGGUUUCACUAAUGCUUGCUUUGAGUUGGGAUUUGUGAGUGAAAACUUCAAAUUCCCAAUACAUCAUCCUUGAAAGAGGGACAUGAGUAUACUUUUGGAUCUUAUAUCAUCCUUGAAAGAGGGAUAUGGGUGACAAAGCAUUAGUGAACAAUAGUUAGAUAUAGCUUAUUUCAUUUUCAUUAUCUUACAAAUAAAGGUGGAUUGAGAAUUAACUAGGUCUUGGGCAUCUUUCUAGAAAUAGGGAUGCCCAAUUGAGGUGUUGGGUGUAUUUUCUUGCCACAUCCAUGAGGUAUCCGAAAAGGUCCUUGGGUGUUAAUCUUGAGGUUUUGUUGACAAAUUAGCAUCAAGAGCCCCUAACCUAGCCUACUCAUGUAGUUGUUAACUAGAAUUUGCAUUCCAUUCUCAUGAAACAAUGCAUUAUUUGCCCCUAGGAAGACAUAAUCCCAAGACUUGUCUCAUAUUGAAAUCUUAUCCACAUUUGUUGCCUUGAAUUGGUAGUUUGAUUAGAUUUUGGUAAAAUAAUUUUCCAAACCAGCCCCCCUCCCAAUUUUAAAUCAUGUAUUUCAUUUUGUUUACAUUACGGGUAUCUCUUUAGCAGCUAUUAACACCCAUAGGAUUUGAAGACUAAUUUCACUCCUCGAGGAUUCGACCCCAACUCACAUUGGGUUAAUAUACUUGACAACGCUUGUCUUGCUCAUAUAUAUGUAAUUGUAUAUGGUUAUAUACAUUGGUUCGACUUGGUUUUGAAUUGAUGGCAUUACUUUAUCUUUAUCCCUGAGUACAUGCUAGUGUUCACCACUAACUAUCUCCAAACGCUGCAUCCCCAUGCGAUGUAGGCGCCGUAGCAAUUUCUACUUUUCCUGUGCAAGUUUAGGUGGAUAAGCCUGGUUCGUUGGUCUUUGGUAGUGAAGUGGUGAGCUUCCAUUCUUCCGAAAGACAUCCAUUUCAUCAGUUUCUUUCCAUAAUUUAGAAAUGAAAAGUUCACAUUAACAUUACAUUGUGAUUGUGAUUGUCAGAGUCGAGGGGCAUGCCCCAACUUUUUAUUGGUACUCAUUUGGUAGAGGCUUUGUUUUGACUACUGUGGACAUGGGUGGUAUGAUUUGGUUUGGUUUGCUUUGGUUGGUUUUGGUUAUAGACUAUUAUAAUGUCUUGAAGAUUGAAUUCUCUUAUCUUUUUAUGUUCGGAAUUCAUCCGACAGGGGGUGUAAGGUGUAGACGGUGGUUUGGGUAUUUGGGGGUGGUCUCCGGUAAUUGUUGGACUUGAGAUACCCAUUACGGUCAGCCCCUGGUUCGGGUUAUGACCCCCAAGACUUGUCUCAUAUUGAAAUCUUGUCCACAUUUGUUAUCUUGAAUUGUUAGUUUGAUUAUAUUUUGGUAAAAUAACUUUCCAAACCAACCCCCCCUCAUUUUAAUAUAUGUAUUUCAAUUUCUUUACAUUAUGGGUAUCUCUUUAGUAGCUAUUAACACCCUAGGAUUUGAAAACUAAUUUCAUUCCUCGACGAUUCGACCCCAACUCACGUUGGUUAAUAUACUUGACAACGAUCGUCUUGCCCAUAAAUCAUAAAGUAUGUUGAACGUUAUCAAUAGGGUUGCUGCCCUUGUGAAAGAACGUCAACUCAAUGACUCUCUUUUCUCCCAUCCUUAACUUUUGACCUAAUUCUCACAAUGACCAAUCAACCACCUCAGGCAACCGGCCUACCAGAUCCAAUGGUUAGCCAGUCUGAGCACAGUGUUCCAUCUUCUGAGGCUACAAGGGUAAGCCAGUUUAUGAGGUUGAGUCCUUCAAGUUUUACUGAUGUUAAGUUUAAGGAGCACCCUCAAGGUUUUAUUGAUGAGAUGGAGAAGAUCUCCUGAAUUAUGCAUGCUUCGGAUGUUGAGGGUGUGGAGUUCACUACUUAUCAAUUGUAGGAUGUAGCGUACCAAUGGUAUAAGGAAUGAGAGCAGUCUAGGGAAGAUAAUAUUGACUCUGCACUGUGGGAUGAUUUCUUUAGUGCCUUUUUGGACUGCUUCUUUCCUUAGGAGUUAAGAGAGGCGAAAGUGGAGGAGUUUGUCAAUCUGAAGAAAGGUAGGAUGUCGAUCAAGGAGUAUGCCUUGAAAUUCCAUCAGUUGUCCAGGUAUGCUUCUUAGUUGAUGUCUAACAUGAGGGCUAGAAUGCAGAAAUUUACUUCUAGGCUAUCUCGUGAGUUGAUUUUAGAGAGUAAGUAUGCCUUGUUGAACAAGGUUAUGGACAUCUCUAGAUUGGUUGUGUAUAUGCAGGAGGUUGAGGAAGAAAAGAAGAAGCAGACGGAGAUAGGAGAGAGGUAGAGUAAGAAAUUUAGAUUUUUUUAUCAGGGUAAAGGCCAACAACAAAGCGGUAGAGAUAGAUAAAAGUGGUUUAAGUAGAAGUAAGGGAGCUCUGGUUCCUACUCUAUGGUUAGUGCUCCUUAUCUGAAACCUUCGGGUGAUCAUCGUUUUCAGAGUGGCAAUAGUUCCAGGGAAAGGGUGCCUAAUCUCAAAUUGGUGGGCCUCAGUCAGCUCCAUCCCAUCCUCCUUGUAGAUUCUAUGAGCGGUUUCAUCGUGGAUUUUGUGAUGAAAGAAAGAAUAAGUGUUUUAGAUGCGACCAACUUGGCCAUAUAUUCAGAGAAACUACCCUACAGGUGAUGUUGCUACGGGGGAAAAUAAGGCUCCUGUUGCCUCUUUAUCAGCUCCUGCACCAAAAGGUAUUGCUUCUGCUUCUGGUACCGGUACUGGCCGAAAUUACUUGUACGUUUUUACUUCUCUCUAGGACUCUGAGGGAUCUCUCGAUGUCUUUACUGGUAUGUUGAAACUCUUUUCCCAAUAUUUGUAUUGUUUACUUGAUCCGAGGUCCACUCUUUCUUAUGUGACCCCAUUCGUGGUUGUGCAUUUUAAUUUUAGUCCUAAGUGUAUUCCUUAUCCCUUUUAUGUAUCUACCCCGAUGGGUGACUCUGUGGUUACUAGAAGAGCCUAUAGGUGAUGUGUUAUAUAUGCUGGUGGUAGAGAAACUCUGGUAGAUUUGAUUGAGUUAGAAAUGGUUGAUUUUGAUGUCAUAUUAGGGAUUGAUUGGUUGCAUUCGUGCUAUGCCUUAUUAGAUUGUUGAACCCGUAAGGUCAUGUUUAGAUUCCCUAAUGAGCUGGUCGUUGAAUGGGAAGAGGAUUCUUUGGUGCCUAAUAGGAGGUUCAUAUCAUAUCUUAGAGCUCGAAAGUUGAGUUCAAAAGGGUGUCUUUAUCAUUUGAUCCGAGUUAAAGAUUCUAACUUGGAGGGUCCUUCUUUAGAAUCUGUUCCCGUGGUAAAUGAAUUUUCCAAGGUUUUUCCUGAUGAUCUUCCUGGUGUCCCUCCCAAUAGAGAAAUUGAUUUUGGGAUUAAUUUUGUUCCAGACAUUUGCCCUUUUAUCCCUCCUUAUAAAAUGGCUUCGGCUGAGUUGAAGCUGCUUAAGGAGUAGUUGAACGACCUCCUAGAUAAAGAUUUCAUCUGUCCUAGUAUGUCUCCAUGGGGUGCGCCUGUUUUGUUCAUGCACAAGAAGGAUGGUUCCCUGGGGAUAUGUAUUGAUUACCGCCAGUUGAAUAAGGUGUCGAUGAAGAAUAAGUAUCCUCUCCCUCGGAUUGAUGAUUUAUUUUAUCUGCUCCAGGGUGCUAGAUGUUUCUCUAAGAUUGAUCUUAGGUCGGGUUAUCAUCACCUAAAGAUUAGGGAAGUGGAUAUCCUCAAAACUACCUUCGGAACCCGAUAUGGUCAUUAUGAGUUUUUAGUCAUGUCUUUUGGGUUGACCAAUGCCCCGACGACAUUCAUGGACCUGAUGAAUAGGGUUUUCCGCCAGUUCUUGGAUUUGUUCGUUAUUGUAUUCAUAGAUGAUAUUCUGGUGUACUCUAAGAGAGGCGGAUCAUGCUGAUCACCUCCGCAUCGUGUUACAAAUCCCGAAAGAUCAGCAGUUGUAUGCCAAAUUUUCUAAAUGAGAGUUCUGGUUGAAAGUUGUUACUUUUCUGGGUCAUGUUAUUUCUAGAAAAAAGAUCAUGAUAGAUCCACAGAAAGUGGAAGUGGUUUAGAAAUGGCCUAGACCCAUGACUCCAAGUCGAUAUUCGGAGCUUCUUGGGUUAAGUGGGUUACUAAAGGAGAUUUGUAGAGAGUUUCUCAACUAUAGCUACCUCGUUGACUAAGUUUACCUAAAAGAUGGUGAUAUUCUUGUGGUCUGAGGCUUGUGAAGGAAGUUUUUGAGAAGUUGAAAGAUAAGUUGACUUCAACUCCAGUUUUGACCCUGCCUGAGGUUAAAGAUGGAUUCGUGAUUUAUUGUAAUGCUUCCUGUAUGGGACUUAGGUAUGUGUUGAUGCAACAUGGUAGGCAGUUAACGAUUUAUGAGAAGAACUACCCAACUCAUGAUUUGGAGUUGUUAGAUAUGGUAUUCGCAUUGAAGAUCUGGCGCACUAUCUCUAUAGAGUUCAUGUGGACAUCCUUUCUGAUCAUAAGAGUCUGCAACAUGUAUUCACAUAGAAAGAUCUUAAUAUCAGGCAGGCAAAUGGGUAAAGCUACAACAUGAGUCUCCAUUACUACCCAGGUAAAGCUAACAUAGUUAAUGAUGCUCUUAGAAGGUGAUCUAUGGAAAGUCUAGCUCAUGUAGAUGAGGAUAAACGGGAAUUGGUAAAGUAUAUUCAUCGUUUGGCUAACCUUGGGGUUCGUCUCUUGGAAUCUGAGGAUGGUGGUGUGUUUGUGCAUCAAGUGGCGCAGUUAUCUCUUGCUGAUGAGAUAAAGGAGAAGCAGGUAUUGUAUCCUGUCUCAAUGAAGAUUAAGGGAGAUAUGGGUCAGCAAAAGGUUGUAGCUUUUGUGAUUGGUAGCGAUCGUAUCUUGAGGUACCUAGGCAAACUGUGUUUCCGACAUAGAUGGAUUGCGAGAGAUGAUCUUGGCUGAGGCUCAUGGGUCGUGUUAUACUAUUCAUCUUAUUUCGAUGAAGAUGUAUCAUGAUCUUAAGGAGAUUUAUUGAUAGAAUAAUAUGAAUCGAGAUGUGGCCAAUUUUAUGGCUAAAUGCAUGGUGUGUCAACAAGUGACGGUUGAGCACUUGAGGCCUGAUGGGUUGUCUCAGGAGAUUGAGUUGCCUAUAUGAAAUAAGGGAGAUAAUAAUAUGGACUUUGUUACCAGCCUUCCUCAGUCUCAAAAUCAGUUUGAUUCAAUUUGGAUUAUCGUGGAUAGGAUACUAAGUCUAAUCACUUCUUGCCAGUGAGGACUAAUUAUUUAGCUGAGGAUUAUGCCAAGUUGUUUCUUGGGGAGAUAGUGAAGUUGCAUGGUGCUCUGAUUUCUAUUAUUUCGGAUCGUGGUAAUCACUUCUCAUCUCACUAUUGGCGAUCGUUUCAGAGAGGUUUGCGAACUAAGGUGAGCCUCAGUACUGCAUUUCACCCACAAACAAAUAGGCAAGCGGAAAUGACAGUUCAGGUCUUGAAAGAUAUACUUCGGACUUGUAUGAUUGACUAUGGUAGUAGUUAGGUCGAUCAUUUGCCUCUCAUAGAGUUUGCGUAUAAUAAUAAUUAUCACUCUAGCAUUGGUAUGGCUCAUUUUGAGCAUUGUAUGAUAUAAGGGUGUCAAACGGGUCGGGUUGACCCGGCCCACUUAAUAAACCCAGCCCGAUCAGCCCCUGGCCUGUAGGGUAUCGGGUACUGGGCUGGAUUAAUUUUUUUUGGGCCCAAUUAACCCAGCCCGGACCAAAUCCGAUCCAGGCCCACCGAUUAAUCGGCCCAACCCGACCCAGCUAGUUUUUUUUUAAAAUAGAUUUUAAUUAAAAAUGGUCGUUGGGCCAUUAUAGCUGUUGGGCCCAACGGUCAUAUAGCCGUUAGGAGCCCAAAACGGCUAUAAUGGCCUUUUUAUUAAAAAAAAAUAUCAAUUAAAUUAUUUCUUUAAACCCAAAAAAUUUUCUAGAAAUACCCUACACUUUCAAAUCAUUUUCCACACAAUUUUUCAUUCUCUCAAAUCUCAAUCUCUCUCAAAUCACAAUUCUCGAUUCUCAAAUAUUCUAUAUAUUUUCUAAAGUGCUCACUUUAAUUUUUUAAUUUUGCGAUUACAAAGUACGAAUGAAAGUUUCUAAAGUCGCAACCUUCGGAUACUUCUAAAAUUUGGUAUUGUCGUUCCAUCUCUAACAUUUAAUUUUUAAUUGGUGUACUAAUUAUUGAAUAUUUAAUUUUAUUUUAUUUGUAUAUUUUAAUUUUUUUAUUUAAAUUUAUAUUAUGGAUUAAUUAAGAAACCUCGCCACUAAAGGUGUUAAAAUUUUUUGUCCCAGAAGUGGUAGUGGUACUUCAAGUAGUAGAUAUACCCGUGUACCUCUGCCUCCGAUACCGCUUAGUCAACCUUUUGAGGAAGAAAUAGGUGUAGGUGCUCACGAUAUGAAUUAUGUAGAAGCUCAAAAAAAUUAUUGUAUAAAAGAAAAUAAAGCAGAUGCGAUUAAUUUAGAUGAAGAUGAUGAAAAUAUUGGUGAGACACCCACAGUAGAAAAUGCUAACGUUAGAUCUAAAUCGGUUAAUCUCCCUCCUCGUCCUCUUCAUGCCGCAAGAGCUCGUAAAACAACUAAUAUUGGAUGACAACUUUUUGAACGUAUAUCAGAUAUUGAGGUGCAAUGCAAUAUUUGUUAACAAAUAUAUAAGCAUAAAAGAGGAGGCAAGCAAGGGGGUACGGGUACGUUAAUGUGACAUAUAAAUGAUAAUCACGAUAGAGAGUUAAAAAUUGCACAAAGUGAUGCAGAUGUUGAUGGACCAACACAAACUAGAAUGGACCCAACAAUUGAUCAAGUAAUGAAGAAGUAUAAUAAAUCGAGGGACCGGAAAGAAAUAGCAAAAAUGAUAAUUGUGGGUUGUUUGCUUUUUAGUUUUCCUUCAUCUGAUAUCUUUAUUCACUAUAUUCAAGCAAUUUAUAAUCUUAUGUUUAAUGGUAUUCCUAGAAGUACUUGUAGAGCCAAUAUUUUUAGACUUCAUUCACAAUAUUAUUUUUAUUUAUCAACAUUGUUAAAAAAUAUUCAAUAUAGAAUAUCCCUAACUUCUGACCUUGGUCGUGCUGUAAAUAAAAAUGAUUAUUUAACCAUUACUUGUCACUGAAUAGAGAGUAAUUUUGUUAUGCAAAAACGUAUUCUUGCUUUUUAUAUGAUGAAGAUCGUAAACAUACUAGAGAUUUUAUUGUUGAUUCGAUUGCUAAAGUAGCAGAAUUUUACGGUAUUGAAAAUAAAAUCUUAUGUAUUACUUUUGAUAAUGCUUCUAACAACAAUAUUGCUAUAACAAAAUUAAAAUCUAAGCUAUCUCCGUCGUUACCUAAAAUUUUUCAUGUUAAGUAUGCUUGUCAUAUAUAUAAUUUAAUUGUAAGAGAUGAUCUUGAGAUUUUUGAGCUUUAUAUUGAAAAAAUUUGGCUUGCUGUUGAUUUUAUCCAAGGAAAUAAUUGUAGAAAAAGAAUUAGACUUUAAACUCAUAUGUGAACAAAAUAGACUUACACCGAUAAUGAUGCCCGAAGAAUGUGAUACUAGAUGGAAUGCUACGCAUGAUUUUUUAAAAACUUGUUAUAAAUAUAGAGUUCCUAUUACACUAUCUUUUAACCAACAUUGUGGUUCGUUUGCUGAUUUUGCCCACUACAUGCUACAUGAUUAUGACUGGGUUGUAAUUAAUGAUCUUGUUAAGUUUUUGGAAAAAAUUUAUAUAGCUACGAUUGAAUUUUUCGGUGCUUAUUAUCCUACAAUUUGUAAUAUUUUGGCAUAUAUAGCCGAUAUUUCUGGUUUGCUCAAAGAAUAUAAAAAUAAAGAAGGUUACAAAGAAACUGUUGGUGUCAUGUUUACUAAAUUUAAAAAAUAUUUUUUUUCUGAUUUCCCCUAUUUACUUGGUUGGCAUUAUGCUGAAUUCGUGCAUGAAAUAUACUACUAUGUACCACUUUAGUACUCUUAUUUAUGCUAACUUAGAGAUAAAUACUAACCAUGAUUCUGAUGAUGAAGAACAAGAACCUGAUUUGUGGACGGCUAUGGCCGAUGCGAACGCUUACAUAGAUAAAUUAUAUAACCACUAUGUUAAUUUAGUUGAUUUAGCUGUGCCGACAAAUAUCACUUCAACUGUCGCUCCUCAUCCUCCCGAAGAGUUAUCAUCUUCUAAAAGGCCGGCACAUAGUGAUUUUCCUGAUUACUUUUAUGAUUUACCUUGUUGGAACAGUGUUGAGGCGGGAGCUUACACAACAACUUAUCGAAAAGAGCUGAAGUAUUAUCUCCGAACGUCGUUAGAGGAUCGCAGACGACGGAUCAACGCGUUGGAUUGGAGGAGAAAUAAUGAAGCACGAUAUCUUGUGCUUUCAUGAUUAGCUAGAGAUAUCUCGAAUGUUCCAAUGUCAACCGUUGCAUCGGAGAGUGCUUUUAGUCAGGGAUGACAACAGCUUAGAGACAACCGACAUUCAUUGGGAAGCAAUGCAAUGAAUGUUCUAGUUUGCCUUAGAGAUUAGAUUAGAGCGGAACGAAGAAAUCAAGGAAUGAAAGCGGAACCGAACAACGAGCAGAGACUUGAAGAAAUUAUGACUUCACAGGAGAACUCAGUAGAAUCAAGUUCAUUGCAUGGUUUUGCCCCCAUUGACUUUGACCAUCUUAUGCAAUUUCCUGUUAAUAUUAACGUGAAUGAAUCGAAAAAAAUGAUGCAAAAUUUGUAGAUUUUUCAUCCAUAUAAAUUAUAAAUCUUGGGUCAUUUUACAAUCAAUAAAAUUCAAUAUUCAUUCACUCCUUAGUCCUUACUUUGUAAUUUUUUCCAUUUAAUGAUUUAAAUUGAAUUUUUAGUUAAAAUUAAAUACUUAGUUUUAAUAUAUUACUAAUUUACUAUAAAGUAUUAUUAAUUUAUUAUAUUAAGUAGCAUAUGUUUUAUUUAAAGAAGUACAUAUAGAGUCUAUAUAUACUUAUAUAUUGAAUGAUACGUAUAUAUGUGUAUAUAUUUUCUAAAGUAAUAUAUAUUUAACGUAUACAUGUGUAUAUGUGUAUUGCACCUAGCUUGAGGGCUUAUGUGUGCCUCAAGUGAGCCUUCAACAAUAUUGUUAUUGAUUGUGAAAUGCUGAAGAAAAAUGUGUUGAGGCUUUUCUGAUUUUUUGGAAAAUUUCCUUUCUAGUUAAAUAAAAAGUUUCUACAGUUACUUGCAUCUUAACUGGUAUUUGAUAUCCUCAUUCUUCGUGUAUGGUGAUAUUUUUGCAUCUAACAGAACCAUUGUUUUGGACCAUGGCAAUCCAUCUAUGAAGAGUCAGGCGAAAGCAAUGGCUGCAGCUGAAGCUAAUCCGUGGAGGAUGGGUUUCAAGGAAAAGAAAGAGCAGCCUUUUAAAAAACGGAAGCCAGAGCCACCUCCAGGUAAUUUCAGAACUGAAGUCUAGAGGUUUCUUAUGUUUUCUGCUUGUAGUCCAGUCAGUGUUAUUUCAUGUCCAGGUGUUGGAAAGAGUAUAACUUCAUUAUUUUAGUUGUUUAUGUUUCCUGUCUUUUCAUUUAACUUAAUGGAUUGCAGGGGGAUCUUACGGAGCUUCUUACAAAUCUGGCCCGUCCGCAGCAACUCAAUCAAAGGGAAAGCCUUCUGCUUCACCUUUAUCUUCUCCACCUGAAUCAUCUGGCGCUCCAACAUCUCCAUUUGGCAAUGUCAAUCUCUUGAAUGUGAUACCCACUCAAGCAAUGACUAAGUCUACUAGUUCCAACAAAGAAAUUCCUAGCAAGGCGACAUCAUGUUCUUCACAGGAUAAAGUAAGGCGCAACGUCUAAUGAUCUGCGUAGCAUGUUGAUAUCCUUACUUAUGGAGAACCAGUCCAAGGAUAUUAGUCUUAAGGUAAGUGUGAACAGUAAUUGGACCUUUCUUAAUUUAGCUAGCGAUGUGCUGUAAGAGGUGGAAGUGUAAGUUCAGAGCAAAGAUGUCCUUUUCCCUUUGGUUUAUUGCUCUUUUCUUGACAUGGAGUACUUGGUAUAUUCUAAAGUAUAUCUCGAUACUGCAUCAGAUUCAUCCCUUUUCCCCUUUUAAUAUCUUGUGGGUUCUUAGGCAGUGGAGAAAGCUGUUGGAGACACGUUCCCAAACUCAGCCAAGCAAAUUGAGCCCAUUAUGAAAAAGGUAAAUGGUACAUGCUGUUUCUAUAAUUCUGGUAAGUGUCCGUAACACAAUAGUUAUAACACUCCAUACAUUGAUUUCUGGGGGCAGAUUGCUGUAUACCAAGCUCCAGGAAGAUACUUCUUGAAACCGGAAGUGGAUACUGAAAGCUUCCUGAAAACUGCCCCUGAAAGUGGAAGGUACAAAAGUUUCUCCAGGCUGUUUGUUAUUUUGUUUUUGCCUUUUCUCUUUGAAUCCAAAUUGUAUCCGUCUUGGAGAGACAAAUCUGAUCUGCAUUUAGCACGAAUAGUCACAUUGAAGUCUCCCUAAGUACACUUGUAGGAGCAAAGAAACUUUCGACCGGAGAAAAACAUAGAAAACGUUUGUGAUACUAUUAAGCAAAAAUACCAUGACAUUUUCCCUCCAUUUUGAGCUGGAACAAUCUAGGAGCAUAUACAUGUUUUUGAUGUUCCAAAGGUUAAAAUAUAUUUUUGAAUUCGUCCUUUCUUUCGAUUUCCAAUUUAAAUGGUAUGAUGCUAACAUACAGAGAUCAUUUCUGUAUGUAUUUUCUUGGCCAUUCCCCCUUAUGGGGGGUGGGGGAGAGUAUUUCUGAUCAAGAGAUUUUUUUUUUGGUCUUCUAUAUCUGUUUCAUUUUCUUGAGCCGGGGAUCUAUCGGAAACAGCCUCUCUACCUCGUUAGAGGUAGUGGUAUGGACUGCGUACACUCUACCCUCCCCAGACCCCACUAUGUGGGAAUAUACUGGGUUUGUUGUUGUUGUUGUAUACAUGUGUAUAUGUUUUAUAAAUUUGUAUAUAACUAUAUAUAUAGUGUGUGUAUAUAUUGUAGUAUAUUUUAUUUAAAGUAGUAUGUAUUUAUUGAAUGGUACGUAUAUAUGUGUAUAUAUCUUCUAUGAACGUGUGUAUAUAUUGUAGUAUAUUUUUUUUAAGUAGAAUGCAUAUAUUGAAUGGUACGUAUAUAUGUGUAUAUAUCUUCUAUAGACGUAUAUAUUUAACGUAUACAUGUGUAUAUAUUUUAUAGAUUAGUAUAUAACUAUAUAUAUAAUGUGUAUAUAUUGUAGUAUAUUUAUUUAAAGUAGAAUGUAAGUAGAAUGUAUAUAUUGAAAUGGUACGUAUAUAUGUGUAUAUAUCUUCUAUGGACGUAUAUAUUUAACGCAUAUAUGUGUAUAUGUUUUAUAAAUUAGUAUAUAACUAUAUAUAUAGUGUGUGUAUAUAUUGUAGUAUAUUUUAUUUAAAGUAGUAUGUCUAUAUUGAAUGGUACGUAUAUAUGUGUAUACAUCUUCUAUAGACGUAUAUAAUUAAUGUGUACAUGUGUAUACAUAUACACUAUAUAUUUUAUAUGUGUACAUAUAUAUUGAAUGGUGUGUAUAUAUGUGUAUAUUUUCUAAAGUAGUAUAUAUUUAACGUAUACAAGUGUAUAUGUUUUAUAAAUUAGUAUAUAACUAUAUAUAUAGUGUGUGUAUAUAUUGUAGUAUAUUUUAUUUAAAGUAGUAUGUAUAUAUUGAAUGGUACGUAUAUAUGUGUAUAUAUCUUCUAUGGUACAUAUAUAUUACAUGUGUAAUUGUGUAUAUGUAUUAUAUGUAUAUAUCUUUUAAAUAGUAAUGUAGUAUAUACUAUACAUAUAGUAUAUAUCUAUUGUUUAACGUAUUGAAAAUGUAUAUAGAUGGGUAUAUAUAGUGUUUAUUGGAGAAAAAACUUUUAUUUUUUGGUUUUCGACCGGAUUUUUAAUCGAUUUUGAUCGGGUUUAGGUGGGUUGGACUGGGUUGGGUUAAGUGGGCCGAUUCAGGGUUGUUUUAAAAUUUUUUACUGUUGGGCCCAGAAUCGGACCAGCCCGUUUAACUAGGCUCGAAUCCGAACCGGCCCACAAAUCGAAUAAAAUUCACGGGCCGGUUUCGAGUUGACCCGGCUCGGCCCACUUAACACCCUUAGUAUGACAGGAAGUGUCAUUCUCUUGUUGGAUGGUAUGAAGUUGGUGAAAAUGAGUUGUUUGGUCCUGACUUAGUUUACCAGCCAUGGAGAAAGUGAAGAUGAUUCUGGAUAAACCGCUCAAAGUCGCCAAAAGUCCUAUGCAGAUGUGAGGCGUAGGGAGUUAGAGUUUGAGUUUAGUGAUUGGGUGUUCUUAAAGGUGUCUCCUAUGAAGGGGUGAUGCGAUUUAGUAAAAAAGGAAAGCUUAGUCCUCAUUAUGUUGGUCCGUACUUGGUUUUGAAGAGGGUUGGUAGUGUUGUGUAUGAGUUAGAGUUGCCUUCUAGUUGAGCUCUUCAUUCAUCCGGUAUUUCAUUUCUCGAUAUUAAGAAGGUGCGUGGGUGAUCCUUUGUCGAUUGUCCCUUUGGAGGGGUUGGGUAUUUUGGACUCCUUGUCUUAUGAGAAAGUCCAAUUGAAAUCUUGGAUCGACAAGUUCAUUGGUUGCGGACGAAGGAUGUGGUUUCAGUAAAGGUUCUUUAGAGGAACCACAAAGUUGAAGAGGCCACUUGGGAAGCUGAAGAGGACAUGAAGUCCAAGUAUCAGUUCUUGUUUCCCAUUCCGAAAAUCGUGCCCAAGGAAUAUGUUAUUCUUACCAUCUUUAUUUUCUAACUUUGUUAAAAGAAAGGGUGAUUUCCUUGGCAUCUUCGUUUUCUAACUUGGUUAAAGGUAAAAGUAAAGGUCUAUGGAGUCCAAUCGUGCUUAUGUUGCCUUGACCCAUCAUUCGAAGAUGAAUGAUCCAAGUUAGGGAGAAUGUAACGCCCCAAAUUUUUAGCCCUUGAAAAAUUCUUGUGCUUAGGGCUCACUCUCUUGGUCACGACUCGUGGUGAUAAGUUGUGAGAUGUGGUUACGGGUCAUAGGACCCUGGUCAUAACCAAAUUCAAAACUUAGUGGCAAAUUUCUGCUCUGAGUAUAAGUGGCUUACUAUGAGACGUGAGGAUAUGUUACGAGUUGUAGGUUCAAAUCAUAUGAUGUCCAGUGUUUAAUUAAUUUGGGUUUUGCGUAGCUUAUGACUAGACCUUACGAGUCGUAAGAUCUCAUUAUGAGUGGGUUGGCAGAGUCGUAAGGUAGGCAGUUUAUGGGGGCCCUAAUCACUAUUUUGGUUAAGGUAUGGUUACGAGUCAAGGGGUUGACUCAUAACUAAAGGCGACUUUUUUCAUCUUUUAAGUUGAGGACAUUCUAGACAUUUCCCCUCUUUCCCAACUUAAAACCCACGUCUUAUAACUUCUUUAGGACAUUAUUAGCUAUCAUAAACACAUCAAAUAAUCUCUUAGAAUACUCCUAAAUCCUCAAGGGUCAAGAACACUUAGGGUUUUCAUGAAGCUAUUCAGUUGGGACUUUCAAGGAUAAUUUCUCUACGUACUUCUUGGUGAUUAAGGCAUGUUACUCUUCCCUCAUUGUUAUUUUAUUAAAAAGCACAUGUUUUAAGGUAUAACUUUUAUGGUAUUGUUAUGGUUUUGAAACAAAGAUUGGGGGGUUUUGAAUGCUUGUGGUUGAAUGAUGUUUUCCUAUGGUUUAAUUGUGAUUAUUCACGCUUUAAAUAUGGUUUUGAACAUGUGGGUGCAUGGGUAUUGUGAAUGAACUUAUAAAUUGUGAUUUCUUAAACUUGCGACUCUUCAACCGUCCAUGACCCCAACCCUGUAUGGUGAAACUGGUUUUCAGUUAUAAGAAAUAUGGGAAUUGAAUUGUGGCAUUAUGAUGUUGAAUUGAACCUUAUGGAACUAUGUUUUUACAAACUAUGGCUUUAAUGAACUAAAGGAGGUCGAGGUAUUCCUCCAAAUUGAUUUUAUGAACUAAAAUGGGGUGUGGCGUUCCCCCAAGUUAAACAUGAUUGUUAUGGCAUAGAGUUAAACUUGCAAGUGAAGGGUAUGGCGAUACCCCUGUAUGACUUAACAGUUGGUUCAUUGAUCAAUAAUUGAAAUUAUGUGCAGCUUGUUUUAAAUUAGCUUAAUGGGAAUUAUAUAGCAAUGUUGAGAAGGUGUGGGUCUUGCAUGACUUGUACUGGGAACUCGUGUUUACCGACAUAAGUUUUGGUCUUGAUGACCUGUGUGCAUGAGUCACACUUGAUAUAUGUUGGGAUGGAUAAUUGCCUAGAUGGCUUAGCUUUCCCUCAGAUUUUAUCUGGAACGUGUGGCUAACACGCACCGGGGCCCUUUCAACAGGGGGAGCUAUACCCAUAUAGCCCGUGAGUGCCUAUUAUGACGGUUGAGCUACAUAGUCCAGGAUAAAGUUUCCCUUCAUGAUUAAACUUGUUCCCUAUACCGGCAUUAUAUAUAUAUAUAAUUGCAUAUGGUUAUGUACAAUGGUUUGACUUGAUUUUGAAUUGAUGGCAUUACUUUAUCUUUAUCUUUAAGUACAUGCUAAUGUUCACCCCACUAACCGUCUCCGAGCGCUGCAUCCCCACGCGAUGUAGGUGCCGGAGCAAUUUUUACUUUCCCUGCGCAGAGUUAGGUGGAUCAGUCCAGUUCGUUAGUCUUUGAUGGUGAAGUGGUGAGCUUCCAUUUCUCCGAAAGACUUAGUCAUUUCAUCCGUUUCUUUCCAUAAUUUAGAAAUGAAGAGUUCACAUUGUCAUUGUCAGAGUCGGGGGCAUGCCCCAACUUUUUAUUGGUACUCAUUUGGUAGAGGCUUUGUUUGGACUACUGUGGACAUGGGUGGUAUGAUUUGGUUUGGUUAGACUAGUAUAAUGUCUUUAAGAUUGAAUUUUCUUAUCUUGUUAUAUGUUCAGAAUUCAUCCGGCAAGGGGUGUACGGUAUAGACGGUGGUUUGGGUAUUUGGGGGUAGUCUCUAGUCCUUAUUGGACUUGAGAUACCCGUCACGGCCAGGCCCUGGUUCGGGUCAUGACCCCUAAGACUUGUCUCAUAUUAAAUCUUAUCCAUAUUUGUUGCCUUGAAUUGGUAGUUUGAUUAGAUUUUGGCAAAACAACUUUCCACCCCACCCCACCCCCAUUUUAGUUCAUGUAUUUCAUUUUGUUUACAUUACGGGUAUCUAUUUAGUAGCUAUUAACAACCAUAGGAUUUGGAGACUAAUUCCACUCCUUGAGGAUUCGACCCAAACUAACAUUAGGUUAAUAACUUGACAAAAAUCGCCUUACCCAUUAAUCAUGAAGUGGGUUGAGAGUUAUCAAUAGGGUUGCUGCCCUUGUGAAAGAACGUCAACUCAAUGGCUCUCUUUUCUCUCAUCCUAAACUUUUGACCUAAUUCUCACAAUGACCAAUCAACCAAUUCUGGCAACUGGCCUACUGGCUCCAAUGGCUUACCAAAACCUACUAACCCUUUUUCAAUUCCCACCUCUCCCUUCCAAGAACAUUCAUGAGCCUUCCACGUACAAUACUAGCGCUAACAAAAUCCAAAAAGAUGAAGCAUCCCCAAAGAAAUAUUUUGGUGCACUUUUUAACAUUGAAUAUGAUAAUGGAGUACCAAUGGUAACGUGAACUCAAGCUGAGGUCAAUCGCAUGAACAUUAUAGAACAUCUCCAAUAUUCUAUUAUUGGAAAAUUCUCUUUCAAUUGGCCUAGCAUUGAAGAUCUAAGGAAAGCAGUUCCUUCACAGUGUAGUAUCAAAGCUGACUGUCGCAUAGAGUAUUGCGAAAUAAACAUAUUCUUAUUAGAUGUGUCCUAGUAGAAGAUUUCGUUAAUGUGAUGUCUAGAACCUCGUAUUAUAUCAAGGACAAGAAUGACCAAGAUUUUCAGAUGUGUUCUUUGAUUUAUGAUGCAAAGUUCAAGGUGAAUAAGGAAACUACGCAAGCUAUGACAUGGAUUUCAUUCCCUAUUCUACUGCUUACCUUUUCUGUUAAAAACACACUUUUUACAAUAGCUUUAGCGUAGGAAAGUCAUUGCAAUUAGAUAUGGCCACCCAAUAAAACCAGACCUAAUUAUGCUAGGGUCAAGGUUUAGGUCGACCUAUUAUCUACGCUCCUUCAUUCGAUGAAAAUGAAAAUCAAAGAUGAUAAAUCAGGAAGUGAGAGCACAGAAACUAUCAAGAUACAAUAUGAUCUGCUCCUUAAAUUUGUACCAAUUGUAAUUUUCAAGGACAUAACACAAGUAUUGUAGAAUGUUACAACCGGAACUAAGACAACAAAUGCAAGGCAACAAUGAUGAAGGCACACAAUCUCUAGUAGAGAGAUCACCUCAGAAACAAAAGAAGUCCAAAACAUUUCUUCCAAGGAGACAGAUAAGCGGCAAAAUAGUUGGUGAUCUACAGGUUUGGAAAGAAAAAGAAAAUAUCAUACAAGACAUAAAACAUAAUAACAUGAAGGCAAUGUACAACAAAUCUGAUGAUGAUUAGAAAAUUGCAACCAAAAUUAAAUUUGAUACAUUGACAGACUUGAAUCGUGAACAGGGAGAAAGAAAAGAUAAUCAAGACAUAGGAGAACUUUCCGAUAAGCAACAUGUGAAGAUGGAUAGCUUUGGUGAUAAUGAUAAUACACAGGAGCUACAAAAUAAAGAUGCAAGAAAAGAAGUUCAAUAAGUAGACAUUCAACGCACCACGGAAGAAAAGUGACUGCAACAGUAGCAACAAUGGAGGAAAAGGUGAGAGGACAAGGGCUUGGGUGGAAGGAGUUUUUGAAAAAUCAUCCCAACAAAGAUCUAGGAAGUGGAGAGAUAGGGUAGAAUAGGAGGAUGGGAUAGAGGAUGAAGAAGUGGGAUCGUAUAAUAGCUUAUGUGAAGGGAAGAAAAUGGGCACAAAAUCUUUUAAUGCUAUUAUAUUAGCACCAGAUAUUGUUACAACUAUUAAAGAUUUGCAAUCAUAUGAGAAUUUGGUUGAAUAUUAUCCACCAAAAAAAGGAGCAUGCAGCCAUAACAAAUGAUGAAGCCAGGGUUCCACUUGAAAGUAAUGAUAUUCAAACGACAAAAUAUCCUAAUAGGAAGUUGUAAGGAAUUGUUACUCAUUCUUCAAGAGAAGAAGAGGUAGAAAAGGAAAAAUUAAAAAAAAGGAGGACGUAGUUCAAAUAAUUCUCCCAAACAAAAAGGAGGCAAAAGAGGUAGUAAAGAAGGAAAUACAGAACUGCAACAGUCUAAUGUGAGACUGGCCAGAAGUGUUGACACUAAAUUUAAUAGCAUGUGAUGAUUAAAGUCAUUUUUUGAAAUAUCAAAUCAGUGAGAACACAUCAAGCUUUUCAUAGGGUACAAAUGCCUUAUAGGCAUCAUAAGUUUACAUUGAUUGCACUAUUGUAGCCUAUUCAAAGACUAACUCAAAUUAACAAAUACAAAAGGAGACAAGGAAUGAAAAAUAAAGGUAGUAAUUGCAAUGUGAAAAUCUAGUACUUUGUAGAAUAUAAUGUGGACGUUGAAGCGGCUAUGGAUACAGGCCAACAAAUUACUUUAAAGCUUUUGUUACGGGAUUCAAAUAAGCAAUGUUAUACCUCUAUUGUAUAUGCUCAAUGCAUUGAGAGGGCAAGGUUAACUUUGUGGGACAAUAUUUAUCAAUUAUCUAAUAACAUGGAGCUACCAUGGUUUGUGGAAGGAGAUUUCAAUAUUAUUUUAAAUGAAAAGGAGAAACUAGGAGGUUUUUCUGUUCUCCCCCAAGAAGGGGAAGAUUUUGCUGUUUUGCAUCAACUCAUGUGAGCGGCAAGAGGUGAAUUACACAGGUAACCCUUUUACAUGGUGGAAUGGUAGAGUAGGGGAAGAUUUCAUUUUUAAAAGACUUGAUAGAGUUGUCAUCAAUAAACUCUGGCAAUGGUUUGAAGGAAUGGAAAUGGAACACUUAUGCAGAACAAGUUUAGAUCAUGCUUCAUUAUUGAUUACUAUGACGAAUAAAGGUAAAAUUUUCCAUAAACCUUUUAAAUUUUUUGAAGUUUUGUGCAGAUAAUGAAGGCUUUAUGGGGGUAGUGAGACAAAACUAGACUGCAGAUAAUGAGGGCAAUUGUUUUUACCAGUUUAAUCAGAAGGUUCAAAAAAGCACUGACUAUUUGGAGAAAGGAAACAUAUGGUGAUAUUUUCAAGUAUAUACUAAUCAGAGAAGAGACAAAAAAGAUUAAGAAGCAGUUGUUUAAUGAUGUUCUUGAUGCUGAGAAUAGGAUGGUUAUGCACCAGGCUCAAGCUGAACUCAAAAAAUACUGGCACUAUGAGGAAGAAUUUUGGAGGCAAAAAGCCAGUAUUACUUGAUACUCAGGAAGGUGACAAAAAUAUUAGUUCAUUUCGCAAUCUAGUUAUGGGCAAGAGAAAGAGGUUGCAAUCAAAAGUAUUCAGAAUGAAGAAGGGCAGUAGUUACAAGAUGAGGGACAUGAAGCUAAUGAGGCUAUCGAUUUUAUCAGAAGCAAUUCACUCAAGAGGAGGAGGCUAAUGAUUUCUCAAUUAUUAAUCAUGUGCCAGAAUUAAUUAGUAGAGAACACAAUGAGUUGAUGUGCAGGAAGCCAGAGUUGGAGGAAGAAAAGAAGGCUGUUUUUAAUCUACAGGGUUUCGUACUAGUCGUCCAGAUGGACUAAUAGGUUUAUUCUAUCAAAAAUAUUGGGAUAUAGUGGGAGGAGAUGUAUUUACGCUAGUUGAAGCUUUUUUUUUUUUGCAGGAAACCUAUUACUCAUACAAAUCUGGUGCUAUUACCAAAAAAGACUACCAUCCAGAUAUUUGCAGAUUUGAUACCUAUAAGCUCGAGUAAUUUUAUUGAUAAAGUUAUUUCUAGAGUGGUACAUGAUAGAUUAGAAGAUGUACUGUCUCUAAUUAUUUCUCCCAAUCAAUCAGAUUUUGUGAAAGAAAAAGCAUAAUAGAGAAUGUACUACUGACACAGGAAAUCAUCACUGACCUAAGGAAGAGAGGAAAGCCAAAUAAUAUUGUAAUAAAGCUGGAUAUGUCCAAAGCUUAUGAUAGAGUUUCUUGGCUGUACCUUUGUAAAGUUUUGAGAAAAUUGGGAUUUGAUGAAAUUUUUAUUGACAUGAUUUGGAGAUUACUAGCUAACAACUGGUAUUCUAUUUUGUUGAACGAGCAAACUCAAGGAUUUUUUCAUUCAACCAAGGGAGUGAGGCAAGGAGAUCCUUUAUCUCUAGUCCUUUUUAUCAUUUUAGCUGAAGUUUUGUCUAGAGCUUUGAAUUCUCUGACGGAGUCAGCGAAUUACCAAGGAUUUGAUAUGCUUAAGUGGAGUACCAAAAUUAAUCACCUAACUUAUGCAGAUGACACAAUUAUUUUCACCUCUGCAGAAACAAGUUUGUUAGGAAUGAUUAAAGAGGUUUUACAUGGGUAUGAGAAGGUGUCCGGUUAGUUAAUAAAUACAGAGAAAUCUUCUUUCUAUAUGUAUUAGAAGAUUCAAGAGGUUUUGCUUUAGGAGGUAGCUGACAUCACUGAUUUAAAAGAGGUGUUUUUCCUUUUAACUAUCUGGGUUGUCCCAUUUUUCAUGCUAGAAAGAAGAAAGUAUAUUAUAAUGAUCUAAUCAAGAAUAUCAAAGAUAGGCUACAAAAUUGGAACAAAAAACUUUUGUCAUUUGAAGGUAAAGCUGUAUUGAUUAACAAUGUGCUUCAGAGUAUGCCAAUUUAUCUGUUGUCUGUAAUGGCACCUACUAAGUACACUUUAAAUGAAAUUCAUAAAAUCUUUUCUAGAUUUUACUGGAUCAACAAGGAAGAAGGGAGAAGUAAGCACUGGUCAACAUGGUUGAAAAUCUACCUUUCUAAACAGGAAGGGGGCAUAGGCUUCAGGUCUUUAUUUGAUGUUUUCAAAUUCUUUUUUGCCAAAUUUUGGUGAAAGUUCAGAACUACAACAAUAAUGUGAAAAAAUUUCAUGUGAAAUAAAAUAUUGUAAAAAGUACUAACAAUGGUGAACUGGAAAGGGGGGUCAUAACUUUCGAAGAAAAUGUUGGAGGUUAGGGAUGAAAUAGAAUCCAAUAUUUGGUGGGAACCUAGAAAUGGUAAUGCAAACUUUUGGUUUGACAACUGGACUAGGUUGGAUCCUCUGAUUCAUCUCAUGCCCUCAAAUCAAAGAGACUUGAGAUUUGAAGAGGUAAAUCAUUUCAUGAAGGAAGUUUUGUGGAAUAAAAAUUUGCUCAGGCAUAACUUACCAUCUUAUCUGGUUGAGCAUAUCAUGACAGAAUUGCCCAAGAAAGGGAAAAAUAUAGCUUGUGAUAAACCAUGGUUUCUAGGCAUAAGCAAUGGAAAUUUUACUGUUAAGUCCUCUUGGGAAAUAUGUAGGCAAAGGGAAGAGACACAGGGGUUUUUUCACAAGAUAUGGACAGUUGGAUUACCUUAUAAAAUCUCUUUUUUCUUAUGGAGGGUGUGGAAGAAGAAACUACUUGUUGAUGAUGUUCUAGCUUCGAUGAUGAUCAAUAUUGUCUCAAGAUAUAGGUGUUAUGAACAACCUCAUCAGGAAAACCUAAUUCACUUUUUCCUGAAUGGAGAUUUUGCUAGAGAUAUUUGGAAUGUUUUACAGGGAUAGCAGGAGCACAAGGUUCGUUCAUACAAGUAAAUCAGGCAAUCACAAUGGUGGAAAAAAGAUUGUGCACCUAACUUGAAAUCGAUAUAUCAAGCUGCACAGCAGUGAUAUUAUGGCAAUUAUGGAAGAGGAGGAGCAAGUUAGUUCAUGGGGGAACAAUGUCAAGGAAUAAAGUGAUUUAUGACAUCAAUCAAAAUUUGUAUCUUCUUCCGAAGAUCAAAUUCCUUAGAUCACAGAUAUUCCUAAUAAUUGGGCUAUUUAAUUCUAAAACUGGAGACAUAUAUGCAACAAAUACAAUGCAAGUUUAUAAACUAGCAGUUGUCCUUAAAGGGUACUUUUAAAUAUAACACUGAUGCUUCAUCUAAAGAUAACCCUGGACCUAGUUCAAUAGCAUUUUGCAUUAGAGAUUGGAGUGGCGACCUCAAUUAUGCAAGGAUAACAAGAAUAUCCAACACUACUAGCCUCCAAGCAGAAGCUAUGGCUAUUCUAGAUGCUAUUGAGUAUUAUGUGACACACCAUAUGAUGCCUCUGAUUAUUGAAACAGACUCCCUGAUAAUGAAAAAAGUGAUAGAAGGGGAAUGAGGUAGUCCUUGGUCUAUCAGUAUGAUUGCACAAAUAAUUAUGGAGUGGAAGAAAAAGGGCGAAGUGUGUGUCUCACAUGUACUAAGGGAAGGAAAUCAACUAGCCGACUAUUUAACUAACAAGUUUGAUGAUUUUGCAAGUACUAUUCACUUUCAUAAUGAAGAAGAUCUACCAAUAGAAACAAGAAGAAUUAUCCAUGCAGACAAAAUUCAGAUGCCUAAUUUGUGUUUGCAAGAAAGAGAACCAGACUAGACCAUUUCACAAUCAAAGUAAAAAGGCAACAGUAGAGCAAACAACAUACAUCUAGAAAUAAAGUUCACAAUUUCAAUGGUAAAAACAUCAAGCCAAUUGAUACAGUUUACAACGAUUCAAGAUGUCAUAAGUUUAUCGCAAAUUCAACACAUCCAAAAAUAUAAAGGUAUAAUUGAGUAGAUUUUCUAGCGGUGGCAUCAAUCUUCUUGAAGGUUCAACCCACUGAAGGAAAAGUUGAUUUUACCAAAAGAUUUUCUAAUUUGUGUUUCUAUAGUUCUAUUCCUAGAAAAUCUUGAUUACGGAUCUUACCUGAGGGCGUAAUAGCUCAUGCUAUCCUCGAACAAGUUGAAGAAGUCUUCAUUUGGGACAGAUCUCACAGCAUCUGGUGAGAGCAUUGGGGUGUCUUGAGUGGAAUCUACCAAAACUUGUCAACAGUCUAUAACUGAGUUUAGUAGCUCAAAAGAAUCUAAAUGGUCAGAGGUUAAUGUAGAUAGACUCACAUUAGUGCACUUCAUCACCUUUAUUUUGAUGUCUGAUGUCUCAAGUGACAGAUGUUAAUUUCGUUGAUGGUGAAAGAGAGUCUCGGGGUUUUGGACUUAAAAGUUUUAAAAUGGGAGUACUUGAGUGGAG
RNAcentral lists this long non-coding RNA (63415 nucleotides) under Capsicum annuum. Its description in RNAcentral is "long non-coding RNA (CANN_LNC006609)". Lineage: Eukaryota; Viridiplantae; Streptophyta; Magnoliopsida; Solanales; Solanaceae. The record is from RNAcentral.